UUUUUUUUUUUUUUUUUUGUUAAGGUGUGUAAUAAUAUUUGGAUUUCAUAACAAACAAACACACGAGUUUCAAAUUAAAAUAAUAAAAUUACACGACUAAAUUAUGCAAUAAAAAUAUCAAUUUGCAUGAUAAUUUCCCUAUAAAAAGUUGUUUAACGUUUUAUUAUAUGAAAAUGAUAAAUAAAUAUUUGAUAUAUCGUGUGAUGUUACGGGUAAGAGUUAACGUUUAAAUGUAUUUUGGAUUUAGUCGUGUUGGUUUAUUUUUUCAAUGUAGUAAAUUAUAAUUGAAUUGGGUAACAAUUUUAUUGAAAUCAAUUAAAUAUAGCUCAAUUCAGCAAAACAAUAAAUAUUUAAUCAAUCAUUAAGUACUUUCAAGUUAAAGAAGUGAAAAUAUUUUUUUGACUACUAUACUAAGCCAUCUAAUCUGUUGAGUUAGGUUAUUACAAAAGGUAAGUUUAAUUAGUUAGUGUUGUCAGGAGUUUUGUCUACCAUCGUCUUAUCUUUAAAAAGUGUAUUAGAUAUAAAAAUAAAUAAAAAUAUUUAAACUGUAUUCAAUCUUAAUUUCUAAAUUAUACAUUUAACUUGGACUUCUAAAUCAUAAGACUGGAAAUUAAACUGAAUCACUUAAAGCUUGGUUGAUAAAGUUUAAUAGAAAAAUGUUGAUAACAAUUGGUAAAUUCUAGUAAAUGAUAAAAUUCUAAUCUUAUUUGAGAAAAUAAAUUCCCUACAGUCUGGAACAGCGAACAGCAAUAUAUGAGUAGGAGAUUGUAGUGAGGUAUAAUUGUUUGUAAGAAAAUGGCGUUAAGGUUUGGAGAGAAGGAACAGGAAAACACAAGAAAUGCAACAUAGAAAGCAUCAAUGUGGUGUUGUUGUGUUUUCCGUGAGUGAGUCUCACAAAGUCCAUGAGUUUGAUCUCUUGAGCAAAGGCUUGAGUAGUUUGUCUUCUUCGAGAGCCACAAGGCCUAUAUGGGAAGGGUCAUCCAGCAUCAUCCUAGCGGACAAGUAGCCGGCAAUGGACCAGGUCUGGAACUUACGGGCCUGCUUCCCAACGUAUCUCCCCCACUUUCCAUCGUAAUAUUCCGGCCAGUUGUCCUUCAGCAAUUUAUUCUCAGCUAUUUGAAGGGCACGUCUUGCAAUCUGGGGUCUCCCUGUCUUUAUCGACGCAGCAGCCAGAAGCCAUAACAGAACUAUAACCACCACAAAUUAAUCAUCAAAUCACUCAUGUUAAACCAAACAUUUGAGAGUGAGAGUGUCGUAGAAGAAUUAAUACCUGGCCAGGAUCCCCCGUUAUGGUAACUCCAUCUAGUAUUUUUUGGGUCACACCCUGUUAUGAUCAUCCAUUCAUGGUUGUCUAGAGCUGGAUAACAUACUUUCACAGGCAUCUCCCCAAUCAAUUCCUCCCACCGUGAUUCUAUGAGAUCCAUGAUUGCAGUUGACUGCUCCGGAGUUGCCAUGCACGACAAAAUUGCAACGCAGUUGCCGAGGCAAAACCACCGGAAAUCCAUCCUAGCUGGGCUCACAUUCCCAACAAAGUAUCCACCAAGGUGCGGCAUGAAAUCGAACACCCAAUCUGGCAAAGAUUCUGGAAUAACAUUGAACUUGUUCACUGCAGUAUGUGAGUACUCCUCUGUUUUGUAGCGGUAUACAUCAUUGAGUUGCUUCAAAUCCAACCAGAAGUGGCUCCUCAUAUGAUAGCUUAAGGCGUGCAGCCUUUUUACAAUUCGCUCCAUGAACUCUUUCCCUUCGGCAUCUGGCUUAAGUAAUUGCAAGGCACAUCUUAGAGCCAUGAAGAACAAUGCUUGAAUUUCUAUUGGAUACCCAUAAACACCCUGAAAUCAUAUACAAAUUUUAAGGAAAUGGAGAAAUGCUUAGUUUCGAAGACAGCAGACAAGGCACGAAUGAGGGUGUCAUAAACAUCGGAAAACUCACCAUUCUGCGAUCAAUCAUGCAGCAUCCAUCAGCACAUAGUAAAGUUGGAAACGUGUCAAACCCCUCUGACAGACAUAGACUCAGGAUCAAGCGCAUACCCUUUUGACAUUCAGGUUCUUCGGCCAGUGAAGAGUCUCCCGUAGACUUUGUGUAUGCCCGAAGUAGUAUGAUCCACCAAAAUCCAGAAUCAACUGGAGCGACCCUUCCUAUCGCACUUUCACCAAAAUCUGCUAUAAGGGUUUCGUGGUUUCUGACGGGAUCAUGGAAUACUUUAAAACUAGCAGGCAUCACCCCUUCUGCUAGAUGGAAUCUGUCAAUCUUUUUCUCCCACGAUUGAAGGCGAAGGGUCUUUAAAAUAAAAUUUUUAACAAUGUCCGGUUCACCAUGCAUUAGAAAAGCCAAAGCACUAGGGACAAAGUCUCUUACAAACACCUAUUAACAAAUACGGUAAUACCUUAGAUUAGAGCAAAGGAAAACAUUAAAAUGGGGAGACAGGGAAAGAGAAUGUAUAAUGAUCAAAGUCACUGACUGACCACCAUGAAAAGUACGUAGAAACCAAAAUGACGAAAAAGACUAAGACUAAGCUCUAGUAUAAAAAGAAAACAUGGCCUACAAGUGUAGCCAAAAUUAAAGUACGUGAUGAACUUGUGCCUAUUUUCCCUAUCCCCAAAAACAGAGAAAAAAAAAAGACAACAUAGAAGAAACAGAAAUAUCGAGGAUAUGACAAGGUCUUGCUACCUGAUCAUAAUUAAGUUGCUCAUCCGAAUUAUCCAAAGCAGCAAUUGUACCAACUGGCUGGCCACGAAAAUAUACCAAGGAACGCCUCAGAGCUUCCCAAGCUUCUGAUGUUAAUGAAUGUGAAUCCCAUGGCACUGAUCUUGGAGUAUUGAUGCCAGACUUUGACAGAGGGGAAUGUAUAUGAUCAACAUGUUCUGCCAGGCGAGAUGUGAACUCAAUUUUUGAGAUCAAAUGACGUGGAGAAAAGCCUACGGAUAGUUCACUCAGUGAUCUUUCAUCACAUGAUCUCUGUCUGUCUAUAUUCAAAGCCGGCCUGGGCCUAUCUAUUGCUUUUGAGAAAUGAUAUUCCUCCUUUUCUGCUACACUAGCAUGUGCCUCUGAACUCUUUAAACUUCCUUUGUGAGACCCUCCUUUCGGAAUGGAAGACAUCUUCCAAAAUCUUAGCACUUGCAAUAGUCUUGCUCAAAAUUCUGCUCAAGUAAGUAUGUUGACAUAACAUUAACAUAAAAGUACCAUACCCUCGAACUGAUAAAUUCCUUGUUUCUCACAAUUCAUAAGUCAAAGGCAUAUAAUUCCAAACUUGUGCACCAUUCUCUUAAUCCGAAAUUCAAAAUGAUUUGAGUUCGGACAUACAGGUUCCCAAAAAUGAUACUACAUGAAGAUUAGAAACACCAAUCUACAAGUGAUUAACUUUGAAAAUACAUUCACACUAUUCAAUUCAAGCGGUUUGUUGCUAUCAAAAAAUGAGUAAAAAAAAUAAUAAUAAUCAAGUGGUUUUAACUUCAUUUAUAGAUUCCCAACUUUCCAACUCCAGAUCGCUCUACCAAAGGCACGAAUUAUUUCGCUAUUUUUUGUUUUUAUUAAUUCUAGAAAGGGUCACUUCUUAAUUAACUAGCAGGUCAAAAUUCUCCCAGAUGCUAACUGAAAAGUCUCAUGUACAAUUUGACAAUCGCAAAAAAGAUAACCACAAAGAGCAAACAAGACAAGCCAACCACAAAAAAAGAAGGAAAAACAUUUAAAAGAAAGGGGGUAAACCGGUGAUGAAAGUCAAGAAACACAUAUAACCGGUGAUGCAUAAGAAGCAGCAUUGUAAAAUCUUCACGGUUGUAGAACAUUAUCAGAAAAAACUAGCACGGUGCCAUCAAACCAAUUAAGGAUCACAGAACUUUCAAGAUUUGCGUCUACGCAUCAUGCUCAUCCCAAAACAACAGAUUCAUGCAAGCUAAAAAAUGUGUAGAAUGCAUGACAAAGAGGGAUGAUAAUGGCUGAAUGGGUCAUAUAAGAAAAUUAUUUAAAACUGCAAAGAAUUAAAGAAGAGAAAAACUAACCCCCCAGAAGUUUGGAGAUAUUAUUUUAUUUUAUUUUUCUCUGGGUUUACAGUGUAAAGUUGUAGAGAAAGAAGAGAAGAAGUUGAAGCACGUGAAACAAAAAGGUCCUUUCUUUCUUGGUUUCUUUCUUUCCCUGUGUGAUUGUGAUUUGUGAAGGAAACGACGAGUGAAUGAGUCUAUCUAUGAUAUGAAAAGAUGCAUCAUAGGACAUUUGGGUUUCCACGGAGGGGCUGAUAUUGUGGUGCUACGUCGGAUCUUAGUAUUCUCCAUUUUCUCUUACCAUCAUUCUCACUCACCCACAAACUCACGUUCAACCUUCAACAUUCACAUCGCCUUCUAUUUUUCAUUUAUUACAUUAAUCCUACGUCAAUAUCUCUUUGCUCCACCUAUUUUAUUAAUAAAUUUCAUUUCUCUUUUUAUUUUUAUUUUCUCCUUUCAUUAUAUUGUUUAUUAUAUUCAUUACUCAUUUUUAAUACCUUCUCAAAAAUAAAUAAUUUAUUAAAAAUAUAAAUGUGUUUGUAUCUUAUUCCUUAGUAAGUCUUAUAGUUUAAUAAAUUACAUAAUAUAUAUUAAUAUAUGGAAGGUUUCUAAAUACUGGAAUGUAACUUGGAAUUCAAAAAAAAAAAAUCACAAACGACAUUUCGUUAUUAUUGAUAUUAAUUAUGAAAGCGUUGUUAUACACUUCUUUCUCUUUUUUCUUGUCGGAAUUUAAACUUAUAUUGUAUUGAAAUAGUUGUUAAAAAAAAUAAUAUAAAAAAAAAAAACUUUACCGACAAUGUAGUAUAUAUAUUUGAGUCUCGUGAGAAUUUUGGCUCAAAAGGUUUUUUUGUUUACUUCUUUUUUAUUAAGCUAACGUUUAUAUUUACAAAAUUAUCAUAAAUUUGUUAAAUAAAAAAAUAUAAUAAAGUCUUCCUAUUGAAAUCAUUACUGCAUUCGUAGCAAACAUCUAAAUUAGAGGUAUUGUCUACAAUAAAACGAUGUGCUAAAAAAAAUGCUUAUAUACAAAAAAGUCUAUGAGUUCAUAAAGCCUUUGUGCUAACAUUCUCUUGGUUUGACACAUUUGGGUUUCAGAAUUGGGCUUUGAGGCCCGCUCAAGAGAAAAAAAAAACCCUAAUUUUGUUUUAUCUUACUUCAUAAAACUUAAUAUUACAACUAACAUUAAAAAAAGUAGGUAGAUAACACACAUUGAAUGUUUUUAACUUAAACCUUAUAUGCAUAUGAAUCUUUUGGUUGACUUUUGAUAUCACUUCACAUUAUCGUAUACUUUAUGAUUCUUUGUUGUAAUGAUCCAAUUUUUUAGAAACCUCAACUAUUGUUAAUAUUCUAUUAUUUUAUUUUGUGAUAAAUGGCCUUUGAUUUAAACCUAAUACUUAUGUUCAUCAAUUUUAUCAAAGAAUACUUUUGAUAAAACAUUCGAUAAAUGAAAAUACCUUUUCAUGAUUUUUGACUUAUUAGAUAUCACUAGUCAUCUUUUAACUUUUAUAGUUUUCAGGAUACCAUUUUUCAUAUUCUCAUUUUCUAUAGGAGGUUUUAUCUUCUUAGGUAAAUUUUUCUUCCGUGCAAUAUUCAUCUCCAUUAAUUGUUAUCAUAUAUUUUAAAUAAAAUUUAAUUUAUAAUAUGCAAAGUUAAACACCUUUAACUUAAACUACCAUUACCAAUAUAAUUAGUUUUUCUAUUGUCUCUACUACUACUAUCUCUAAAUCUUCAUAUAUAUUUUUUAAAACACAGAUAAUUUAAUUUUAUAGUAUUUUGUUUUUAUAAAUCAAAAUUAAAUUAAUUUUUCCUCAUAAUACUUUGUACUACUAUACAUAUAUUUAAUUUAAUUAAUAAACUAUUUUUUAUCUCAAUAAAAAAGUACAAUUGAUUAUACUUAAAUUAAUUUAAUUGAUUGUAAUGGGAUACUUCAAUGUUUUAUUAUUAAAAGAGGAUUAAGUGUAUAUCAACCUGAAUGAAAUAAUAUAGAAAAUAAGAUUUAUUAUACAUUCAUACUAUAAUUCUAUAUCAUUGCAUUACUUUUUUCGAAAUGUUAUAAAAAACUUUUCUAAACCAGUAUAAAUUCUUCAGAAACCGUCCAACCAUAUAUGUCUCUCACUCCCAAAAAUUAAGAGAAAAAAAAUAAGGGUUUUAUUUGACACGUCCUUCGUUCUAGAGGUCUCGUAGGCUAUUUCAAAAAGAUAAUGAUACACAGACAACAUUUUUUUGAUAACAUUUGAAUAUUAAUCAUACGUGUUAUUGUGUGAUUGAUCCAAAUGACACAAUGAUACCACCAUAAACCAAUCACACAAUGACACGUAUGAUAAUAUUCAAAUGUUGUCAAAAAAUGUUAUCUAUGUAUAUUUAUCCUUUCAAAAAAUAAUAGAAGGUAUUGAUAAAUUAAAAACAAUUGUUACAACUUUCUAAUAUCUUUUUCAUUUAACCCAUUACAUUAUUUUCUAAGACUUGUCAAUUAAUGAAAACACAGAAAUAAAUACUGAAAAUUGCUAAUAAGAAAAUUACAAAAGAAUCUUUGGUUUGGGAACUUUUAAGUAUUAAAGAAAUGUUGAAUAUAUACAUAGAAAGUAGUGUCGGUAAGACAUGGAUGCUCUUAUUGUCGCUUUUGAGUGCUGGCAAGUCUCUGGAAACUGAGAAUCACUUUUCUACUGAGGAAAACUCCACGAUAAUCAUUUUAUAUUUUUCCCAUGCUUAUCAGGUCGUACAUGGUCUUAGUUUUCCAUAAUAAAAUAUCUACCUCAUAGGGAGGAUGAUAAGGAUCACAUACAGAAGUGAUUUAUAGUGCGGUUUAAAGCCAAAAUGAAAAUCGAAUUCCUUUUCAUAAUAAAAUGGGUUGUCCCUGUAACAUGACCAAUUUCCAAAAGUUACUUGAAUUCAGAAUCUUAAACACUGGCACAGAAACGAUGAAGUUGACCCCACAUGAUGGUGGCUGUUUUAAUCAUUAUUGCUGAAUGUGAUGGCUUACUAGAAAAAGUGGUGAGAGCAACAAUUAUCCAACUAUCUAAAGUUGUGAGGUGGGUAUUGGUCUGGGAUGUGAUGAUGAGUGCUUGAUCUAUAAAAAUCCUUCCUAUUAUAUAUAUAUCUGCUUGAUUCAGAUAAGAAUCUGUAAAAAUUUCCAGAUUUCUAUGGGUUACUACUGCUAUAAACGCAGGAGUUGUAGCACUCAUACAUCAGAUGUUAUUGUGAUGUUGGCCGUGGCCUUGAUGCUCCUCUGCAUACCGUGGCUCUUCACGCGUGAACAAGUGGUGGUGGUUGAAGAAAAGAAGACGAAUUGGUCAGCUUUGAUCACGCCAAUACUGGUACUGUUCAUUCUGCUUUUGCUGUCACUGAUUGGAACUCCAAGGAAGGUUUAUGCAAAGCCAACCUGCUAUAGGUGUAAGCAUGUCUGUUACUGUUACUGGUAGUGUCACUCCAACACCUGCUCCAUCCAUCAUUGCUAUUGUCUUCCCUGCUCUAUGAUUAUUCUAUAUAUCCUUCCCAUUGCGUUGGAAUACUAUGAUACCAUCAUAAAUCAUAUAUAGUUUUGUUACAAGAACUAAAAGGGAGAAUCCAGUUGUGCUAAUAAUUUAAAUGUAAUUAUAAUUCAGCUGAAAAAAGUGUUAUAGUUUUGAAUUUAAGGUUUAGGAUUAUAAUUUCAUCAAAUGUUAAGGAUGUGGUGUUAGAAAAAAAUUGAUUAUAAUUAAUUUCUUGAGAUAAAUCCAGUUGCUUAAAAAGAGGAAAAAGAAGAAAAAAUGAUGGUUUAAUGAGGUGAAAUGAAAUUGGGUGAGCUCAACCUGACUUAUUACCUAAUUUUGUCCCCACCGCGGCUCAAUUAUUUUCUUCGGCCUGAAGCGGUGGUUUUUAAGUGGUUUACGCAUCGUUCCUGCAACCACCAUACAGGAACUACUUUAGUUAUUUCUAUACACAAUCUUCACUUUACUAAUCAUUAGCAUAUAAUUUAUUUUCAUUAAAUUUUUUAUUGCAUUCUUUUACUCAAAAAAAAAAAAGGGACUAAGGUUCUAAAACCUACUCACAACAAUUUUUAUAAAAAAAAAAAAAUCAAAAGAUGGUGGGAUUCAUAUGAUCAGAUUUGCAAAUAAUAUCAAAUUCACUCACUUAAUUGAGUUUUUGGGCAAAAGUUUUAAUGCGUGAUUCCUGAUUUUUUUUCAUAAUCUUUUAAUACAUAUUUUUAUAUGUAAUAUGCAUAAUUCUUAGGUUAAACAAGGAUGUUGAUCCAUUUAUGCAAUGAAUUUUGUGAAACAAAUACAAUUUAUAAAAACUAAAGUCCUUUUAAAAUAAGGAUUAUAUGAAUAAUUUUUUUACAGUAAAAAUAUAUGCAUUUUUUUUAAAUGGUGUUUCUUCGAAUACUCUAACUCUAUGUCUAAGAGAAAAAUAUAAAUUAAAGAAAGAUAACUAAUCAUGUGAGUUGAUAUGAUAAAUUAUAUAUGUUCAAAAUUAAUUUGUGUUUCUUUUAGAUUUACAGAUGAAUAAUAAUAAUAAUAAUAAUAUUUGUAUUGACUUUCUCAAAACAAUAUGAAAUAUGUGAUUUUUCUUUUUUAAUAUUCAAAUUCUCUCUCUAUAAUACUGAAGUAUAAGUGAAGAUACAUGUUUGCAUUAGAAUCCUCUACCACACUUAAUUCUCUGCUGCUACUCUAUGUUCCAGCAAUACAAAGGUAUAUAUAAAUUACUAUGAAUAAUUAAAAAUUAGAAACAGGUUGCAACAGUGGAGGGGAAUAAAAAACUUUGUUUCAUUUGCCUGCAUAAAAAAAAUGAUUUAAUAAACAUAGAUAACAUAUUACUGUAUUAAAAGAAAAUGAUAAAAUAAACAUACAUAACGUUUAUUUAUAUUUAUGGUAAUUAUAAACAUACAUAACGUUUAUUUAUAUUUAUGGCAAUAAUAAAUAUAUACAAAUUUAUCUAUUAAUUUAUUUCAUUAUAAUUUGAAAUUUUAAAGUGAUCAAAUUUAAAAUAAAAUAAUUCAUAUCUAUACCUAUAUAUACAUAAAAAAAAAUCAUUUCUAAUAUCUAUAUUUGUUUUCUAAUUUUACUCUUUGAAUAAAUUUUUUGUAAAAUUAAAACAAUUCUUUUAUCAAUUUUACCUUUAGUGAUUUUUUUUAAAAUUUAAUAAUUUUUUUAUUUAACUUUUUUAAACCGAAGAAUUCUUUUAAUUAUAAAACUACCUAUAAAAUAAUAAAAAUUAUUUAUAGUAAAAUUAUUAAAAAAAUAUUUAUACUUAAUUUUACAAUAAUAACAACAACAAUAGCAAUAAUAACUUUAUUAUCUUUUGUUAUUAUAAAAAAAUAAAAGCAUAUGCAUACUGUAUGUAUUUUCACUAGUGUAUAUAAAUAAAAUAGAAUUAAAUACAAAUAUUAAUUUAGUAUUUGAUUAAUGUUAUUAAUGUAAUUUGAUAUUUUCAUACAGUGUUAGUUAUUAUAUAUAUCAAAUAUUAUAUCAUUAAAUCGACUAAAAUAUAAUUUUAUUGUUAAAAUAUAUUCAUUUUACGUUUUUGUUUCCACAAUCUUAUUUUAUUUUCCUAUAAAUUUCUUUUCUUAUUUUGUUCUUUUAUUUUAAUUUAAAAUCUUUUAAAAAUUAGUCAAUAUAUUAUAUACGGAUAUGAUUGUGAGGGAUAUAAAGAUAUGUUGUGGCUGAGAAUUGGAAUAUUAUACUUUUUUACUUGUGUUGUGGGAUAACCUAUCACAUUCACUGUUUAGUGACUCAGAAUUAACUAACAUUCACUAUGCAAACCUACCAUAUCAAAAACACUAUGUCAAGUAGAUACCUGUACAAAAAAUCAUUUAAAAAAGAUUAAUAUAUAUAUAUAUAUAUAUAUAUAUAUAUAUAUAUAUAUAUAUAUAUAAAUUUAUAUAUAAACCCUUAGCGUUAUAUGUUUGAAGAGACAAACAUAAUAUUAAUAAUAGAGGUUACGUAAAAAUGAAAUAAAGAGUGAUUAGUAUGUAAAGUUGAUUGAGAUCCAUUUCACAUAUAAAAGUUAUGUUUAUAUUUUAUUUUUAUUUACAAUGGCUUUAAUAAUAUUAAAAAAUAAUAAAUGCUGUAAUUGAGAAAGUGAGAGUACAAUUACAGUGAGUGAGACCUCCUUUUAUGUUAAUGUAUGAUUCUUAUUUUAAACUUUUUAAAAUAAAAUUAAUUGCACUCUAAAAAAUAUGUAAGAUUAAAAUUAAUAUUAACACUAGACUUUAACUAAUACAAAUACACUAACACCUAUGUAAAGAAUAAACCAAAUACAAACUCACUACUCAUGAACAUUAUAUAAUGAUGUUAAUUUAUUUUUAAUCAUUAUAUAUUAAAAUAAAACACAUUUACACACGUAAGAUUAAUAGUCUAAUUAUAAUUUGGAAACUGAUAUUGACACCAUUUUGACACUGCACACAUGUCAAAAUGUGGUUGGACGAUUUUAGGUUAAAAAAAGCUGACACAAAGACAUAUUUAAAAGAGAAAAAUCAAAGUUCUUUUUUUUAAUUUAAAAUCAUCUAACCAUAUUUUAUUUUAACAUGUGUACAGUGUCAAAAAUGUAAUGUGAAAAUAUCAUUUUCCUUAUAAUUUAUUAGGUACAUAAAUUGUUUUCCUUUUUCUGAUAGGUAGCGUUGACAUGAUACGUGUUUAAUUUCAGUGGUGGGGCUACCCUCCUAAAUGGUAAUGAAUUUGGCAACAAGCAGGUAUGCAUUCACAAUAUAAACUACCACUUCAAAAGGCAAUUUAUUAAAAAAAAAAAACAAUACUUUCACACAAAUAUAUUUUCUACAUUUAUUUGAAAUUUUCGUUCAUUAUUUUUUUUUUCUUUUUUUUAUAAAUAUAAAAUUCACUUAUACUAUUUUAUCUUUAUAUAUAAUCGUAUCAUUAUUUAAAAAUAAAUAAAUCUAAAACUUUGUUUUACGGUACACUCUACUCUUCUUUAGAAUGUCCUACCUAGCUCUGUACUAACUCUAAUAUUUGACUCUCAUUUUAAAUGGUUGACACUCGCACAAAUCACACACUGCCAAAUCAUCCGGUACAAACUUUAUUUCCCAAACAAUCUUCAUCACGUUUAGCUAUAUAUAUAAAUCUAUAAACAAAAUAGAACAAAAACUCAUCAAUUCCACCGCACAAUUCUCACUUGUAAUGGCAUACGGUAGAAGCAGAGCCUCCUCUGUUUUUGACGGUUUCACUCUCAACCCCGUUCCAUAUCCCGUUUUACUAAUCUUAGCACUGAUCCUCUUGUUCCUAGCGAUUUCAUGGUAUUUCUCCUAUGAAGAAGUGGUUGAAGCUGCAGAAGAACAACUGGGGUGGAUGCUGUUAGCCACACCGCUGCUGCUAAUACUCAUGGUUCGUUGGUUAUCGUCUGUGGAUACUUCAGAAUGGUUCUUUUUCAACUCCUCGCCAUGGGAGAGAAGAAGGACCACGCACAACUUUCCAUCAGAGGGUACCUCUCCUUGGGGUGUUGCCGCUUUCAUCCUCCUGGUUCUCGUGCUUCUGCACUAUCAGUCCUCUUUUCUUGAUUCCUGGUUUGUUUGAUUUUGUUUCGUUUCUGUUCAGAGUUUCUCUGUUUCUCUACACUUUAUUUUCUCUGUUUUUAUUUCACUUUAUUAUUUAUUUAGCGUAAAGGUUAAUGCUAUAGAGUGAUUAUUAUUGUGUGUGUGUGUGUGUGUAUAUAUAUAUAUAUAUAUAUAUAAGUAGAUGAAUAGAUGCUGCUGCUGUAUGAAUAUGAAUUGGGUUUAAGGUGCUUCGUAAUGAUAAUGAUGAUGGUGGCAAACUAGCACAGAAAAAAAAAACAUUUUUUUUGUGUAUUUUCAUUUUUUUAAAAAAAGAUAAAUUUAAAAAAAAAAAAGAAAAAGAAAGACGUAUUGGUCUAAUCUAAAGAGCGGUUUCAUUUCAUACUUGCGUUACUUGAGAUACAUACUAUUGGUGGUCAAAACUCGUUCCAGUAUUUCUGCUGAAAUGAUGCUGAAGAAACGAAAUGUUGAGGUUAAUUUGUCUAUUUAGUUUUUGAAAUAAAGUACUUGGGCAUCAUUAGUUUCUUGAGAAUACAUAUUAUAUUCUUCUCUAUUUGAGUGUAGGAAAACUUUGUCUUUACAUUCCUGAGACAAUCUUCGUUUUUUAAGUAUUUUAAAAAGUCACUCCUCCAUGGCCAGUCAACAUAUGACAUUGGAGAAUGGAAACAAUAAAACGAAAAUGACAAACCCUCUUUUAAAUAUUUUAUUCGAAAGUAAGUCUGAUCGUUGUUUAAAUUGCAUUUUAUAUAAGAUAUAUUAAAAGGAGUUACAAGUAUAUGUAAGAUAUAAAAUAUAGAAAACAUAAAUGGGAACUUUUGUAUUUAUUAUUCAGUAAUUACAUAAAGAAUGAAAAUUAUUACUGUUGGAGUGAUGGUCUGAAUGCGUUAAAGUUGAAGGUUGCGGCAGUAGUAGAAUAUGAAACGAUGAAGAAUAUUAGGAGGAGAGGUAACAAGAAGAGGAAUAACUGAAAGCUGAUGGCUGUGCUAUGGAGCUGAGCCAUGUAGUCCUUGUAACGGGAGAAGGACAACAAGCCAAUUACAAUACAGAAUAUGGUGAGCAAAUGGCCUGAAAGACCAGAACCAUUGGUCAUGCUUCCACCCAAUUUCCAUUCUUCACCCCUUCUUUUAGGGAAGAACAUUUUCUCCUCUUUUUUUUCCUUUGGCUCACCACACCAGCACAAACCAGGACUCUCUCAGAACAAGCACAAACUCUGCUUGGCUUAUAUACUAUAGCUUCAAUGUUUCUGUAAUUAGGUUGGGUUUGGCAUAUUCUUUGAGUUUAACCAACAUACAAGUUUAUGGUGGUACAAGUAUUUUCAACUAGCUUGGCAAGGUAUCUGUGUGAAGGAUUGGAGGUCUUUAACACGCAUUCCAAUAUACAAACAUCGACGAGAUCAAUUAAAAAAAAAUAAUGAUAUUUUAAUAACUCUUUUUUAAUAAUUUUUUUACAACAGGACACUCUGUUUGAAUUUAUUCUAAAAAAAUAUUUGAAACGGACCAAUCACAAACUGUCACGUAUGCGUUGUCAAAAAGUUAUAAAAAAAAAUAGGUUAAAUAUGUUUUUAGUCCCUAUACUUUGAGACGAUUUUGGUUUUAGUCCAUUUUCAAACUAUGGUACAAUUUAGUCUUUCAACUUUAGAAAACUCUGGUUUUAGUCAUUUUCACCAAUUUUUUUAACUUUAUUUGUUGUUUCAAGCACGUUUUAUUAUAGCAUUUGGAUUGUUUAUACUGUUUGACACUUAACUGAGAAACGCGUUUGAAACAACAAAUAAAGUUAAAAAAAAUUUGGUAAAAAGGACUAAAACCAGAGUUUGCUAAAAUUGAAGGACUAAAUUGUACCAUAGUUUGAAAAUGGACUAAAACAAAAACCGCCUCAAAGUAUAGGGAAUAAAAACAUAUUUAACCUAAAAAAAUUGUUAAAGAGACUUUUUCCAUUAUAAAAAUUUGUUAUUAUAAAUGAGUUUUAUUUUGUAAGUGCAUUUGACUCUUUCUCCAACUUAAUAUUAAAAUAUUUCAUUAUGUAUUUAAAAAAUCACGUAUAUAUAUUUUUAGAAUUAAAAAAAUUAUUUAAGAAUAUGUUAUUGUAAAUGAGAAUAGACUUUGUUUACAAUAUUCCAUGUGUAUCUAUAUUUUCUUAUAACACUCGAUAUUCUAUAUUCGUUUUGAAUUGAAAUACGAAAUCUAUAGGCAGAUAUUAAGCUUGAGUUAGAUUAGAAUAAUCAAAUAUGACUACAAUUAAGUAAGAUUGUGUUUUUGGAAAGAUUAUAAUAUUUUAUUUUUUCUUUUGCAAAGUGUUUAGGGUUUUACAUUCAAGCUCAAUUGUUUAUUAUUGUAUUUAGUGACUAGAUUAUUUAUAAAAAAACUCCCACAUUUUAAGUUAUUAAUGCAUAUUAAAUAUCAUUAUUUAUCUCUUUAUUUUAAAUUUGGAUUAGUAACAACUUAAUUACAAUCUAAUUAAUUAUCUUUUGUUUUAAAUUUAUCAUUUCUCUAUCGACUUACUGUUUAACCUAUUAGUCACCAUCAACUCUAAUACAUUAGUAUGUAACACUAUAAUAAAGAAUAAAAAAUAUUUAAUAAAAUUUAUCCGCCAACUUUAAUACAUUGGUAAAUAACACUGUAAUGAAGAAUAAAAAAUAAUUAGUGAUAUAAACUAACAUAGUCAGUUAAAGUGAAAUUGGAAUUUGACUUGUUUAAAUAAAACGUGAAUUUUGAACCUUCUAAUAGAAAAAGGGAUAUGACUGAAUACAUAUAGAAGAAUCGUGAUUAAUUAAUGAGAAUCACAAAUCUUAAAAAUUAUUGCUUGUAAAAAUAAUACUAUAUUUAGUUUUAUUACAUAAUACUUGAUCAUUGAAUUGGAUAAUAAAUUUGAUACUCCAUUAUUAAAUUAUUGAUUAACAAUAUGUGGAUAAAAUGUGUAUAGCAAUUUUUGCAAAACAGUUCCUCUCCUCACUAAGACCAACAGCUUAAUUAACUGGUUUAUCUCAGUAUCCAAUGGCAUCGUAACAAUUACAGUGUUUAUGUAUUGUGGCAGAAAAAGUAUACCAUGGUAACAAUUAAAUCCAUGUGGCACUUCACAUGGUUUAAACCAGACCACAGUUAAAGAUUAACCAAUGUAGUCUAUUGCCUUAAGUUUUCGUAACACAUGCAUGUGUGGUCAUAUGUUGGUUUAUCUUAACUCUUUUAAAUGUACAAGUCAAUGGAAGAUAAAUCUGUAGUACCACUCUUUAUCGUUUUACAGAAAGUAUUCAUUUUUCUCUUCUAGAUCAUGAACAUUCAAAUAGUGAAAAUUAGACUAUUUGAUCUUUAGUACAAUUUUAGUAUUUUAAAUGGUAUUUAUAUAAUUGUAUUUUUUUUAUAAAAUGAAAGAUAAAAAAUAAGUAAAAUCCUUAUAUAAAUUCGUGAUCUUUUAAAUUUUUGAAACUCUGGUUAAACUGUAAUAGAUUACAUGUAAUAGUAACAUAGCCAAAUUAUCUAGUUGUAAAAGAAAUAUCCAAGUUGUAAGUGAUUUAUUGGAGCUAUUUGGUAGGUUGAGACAGAUAUUCAUAAAGAUGCAUUAAGCAUUUGGUUGAAGGCCGAUACAUCAAUGAUAGAUAAAGCCAUUUUUAAUGCAAUUUCACAGUCAGUAAGCCAUCCAUUCGUUAUAAAUUAUGCUCUCCAAUCUCAAUCUGCUUCAUCCUUUCAUCUCUCACUUCCAACUCUGCCUUCUUCUUUUUCAUCUGCUGUUAUUGGUUGCCAUUUCCAAUGCAAAUUUUCAUCCAUCUCCAAGGUCCACUAGUCUGCUUCUGUUUGUUGUCUGUGUUUUUUGUGGUGAGAAGCUCCAGCAAUGAAUACCACAGGACGGUCCAGGUAGUUGGCCAAGGAGAAUGCGCAGACUGCAGCCAUAACAACAUUAAGACCAGUCAUGCUUUCUCAGGUACAUUUUCUUAUAAUAUGUCAGUAUAUGCUUAGUAUAAUAGCAAUGAUAUAUAUAUUUAUAUAUUCACAAAUCCAUUUAACCAUAUAACUUUGUUUAAUUCUUCAAUCAUUCAUUCAUAUAUUAUACAGUAAACUACUGGUUUUUACCUUUUAAUUAUGCUACUAGCCAGUAUGAAGCCUAAUUCUAUAAUAUAAGAAUCCUGUGCAUUACCUGUGUGUAGGACUACGUGUAGCGGUAAACUGUAAGUCACCUCAUGGACACUACAGAACGAGAGGGGUGGGUGCCCUUGACGAACAUGGAAACUUCAAAGUAUCCCUUCCACAGGACAUGGUAGAAGAUGGUGAGCUAAAAGAAGAUUGCUACGCUCAGCUGCAUAGUGCAUCAGCCGAACCAUGCCCUUCCCAUGGAAACUCAAAAAUUGUGACUGAGUCAGUAUCGGAAGAUACACACACCCUUAAGCCUGCUGCUGGAAAACUCACAUUCUCAUCAGCUAUGUGCACUUCAGCCUUUUUCUGGCAUUUCUUCAAACACCCUCAGUUCCCCUUCCCUCCCAAAGAUGACCACCCAAUAGACCCGCCAGUCCAUAAGGAACCUCUUCCUCCAACACCAACAUAUAAAAAACCUCCUACUAAUUCUCCAUCUCCGGUUACCAAGAAGCCAUACCCGCCAAAGGAAAAGACACCUUCUUCUCCCACUCCCAUUCAUAGGCCUCUUCCUCCUACUACUCCCAUUUCUGAUCCCUCUCCUACUACGCCGCCAUUUUUCAAAUUAUUUCCUCCUUUCCCAUUCAACAAGAAGCCGUGCCCACCUCUAAUUCCCAACAUGGAACCUCCAAACUACUUUCAACAUCCAUGGUUUGGAAAUUGGCCCCCUUCUCAUUCAUAGGCCGCUAAUCAUUGCACUAGCUUGGAGUUGAUUUUUUGUGUUAGCAAUGACGUUGGGAUUGAUUAUUUUCAAAUAAAAUAAAUGUCAGUGGAUGGAGAAAGAGAGCAGAGAAUAACAAAUGAUUGAGCAAUGUUAUCUGAGAAUGUUUGGGUUUGUUGAUGAAUUUGAAUGUGAUGAGUUAAUUAAUAAGUAAACAUUUCUAUUUUAAUUAAUCUUGUAAAUUAUAUUGUUUAGAUGAGUGAAGAAAGAGCGGAUAAAAGAUGAAAACAAAGUUCAAAUUUUAUAAAUCGUCGUGAUUAAUCGUAAAAAAAAUGAAAAAAAGGUUAAAACUUUAUAAAAUGAAUGUGAUUGAUAAAAAAAUAUGGUGGUUGAUUUUAGUUUAUAAUUAUUAUUUUUUCACGCUUUUAAUUUAAAUAAUAAUAGCUAUUUUUUUCUUCUUUUCAACUUAAUAUUUUCUCUCUUCUGUUUAUCACAUAAUUUAACAUUGCAGUGUUUAUUUUCAUAUAAUAUUUUCUUUUAUUAUAAAAUUUAAUUACUUGAAUAAUUCCACUAUUCACUCUUUAAAUUUAUUUAUUUUUAUUAAAAAAUUAUCUUUAUAUAAUAAAAACCAAAUUAAACAAAUGUAUUUAGGCAUUCAAUAUGAUAUUAUUGAUAUAUUAACUACUUUCUUAAAUAACUGACAUUUAGUGAUAUUAGAAUAAUUUUCUAUUUCAUUAACAGCACAAUUCAUUUGCGUUAUUUGUAUCUUAAAGAUUGAAAUAUUCAUCGGUCAACUUUUUUGUGCACUAAAAAUUUGCAUGAUAAAUUUUUGGCAAUUUCUUCUGCAUCCUUUUUUCUUCUUCAUGCACCCCAUAAAUAAUGAUGACAUGAUAUUGACUCUCAUUAAGUGAUUUUUUCCGGGUAGCCCAUUUUGUAAUAUAAUAUCUUUUGAAUUGAAUAAUUUAGAAUAUAUAUUUUUUAUUGUCUUUCGAAUUAAGAUAUUUUUGGAUUUAAAAAUAUAUUUAAGAUAAUAUAAUAUGGAAUGUAUUUAAAAAAAUAUUAUUUUUCUAUUAAAAAGUAUGAAAUCUGAUUAACUAGAAGCACUCUCUUUUCUUGUUUUCGAGAAUUCUUUUAUUUCAGAUUAUAUAAUAUGGAAUGUAUUAAAAGAAAAACAUUAUUUUUCUAUUCAAAAGAUAUGAAAUUUGAUUAGCUAUAAGCAUUCUCUUUUCUUGUUUUCCAGUAUUCUUUCAUUUUACACUCUUACAACCAUUCUCGAAAAUUACAUCAAUUCUCGAAAAACAAAACUGCAAGGUAAAUUAUGCCUUUUUAUUAUAAUUUUAACGAAAAAUAAUUUGAAUUUCAUGGGAGUACAGAAAGAAAAAAGAGUAAUGCAAGGAGAAUGAACCUAUUUUUUUAUAUUUUUUAUCAAUACAUACAAUCUUGUAAUAAUAUUUGGGCUGGAAAGAUGGGCUUAAGCCUUACAAUGUGCAACAUAAUCCAUGCAUUGUAUUUCCUUUGAAAUGGAGGAAUUGAAUUUUAAAAGACGUAAUAUUAUUAUGAUGGUAUAUGAAAAAAUUGUUGAUUUUUGGCAUAAAGUAAAUUAAUAUAUACUAAUAUUAAAUGGAAGAAAAGAAGGUGCCGGGUCUAUGGAGUUGGAGAAAGGAAGGGAGAAAUAAGAUGGAUCCGAUCUUAACUGUAGUGAGUUCACCUAUUCAGAGGGAGCCACGUGUACAAAUGGAACACCAUCACACUAUUUAUACUCCUUCCCCUUCCCUAACACAGUAAGUCACUUUUAAUCUCUCUCACUUUCCUUCGACUCUCAAUUCAAUUGCAACGCAACAAUGCCCAACCCUAGGGUUUUCUUCGACAUGACCAUCGGAGGCCAACCCGCCGGCCGCAUAGUCAUGGAGCUCUUCGCGGACACCACUCCCCGAACCGCCGAGAACUUCCGCGCCCUCUGCACCGGCGAGAAGGGAGUAGGCCGCAGCGGCAAGCCCCUCCACUACAAGGGAUCCGCCUUCCACCGCGUCAUCCCCAACUUCAUGUGCCAGGGCGGAGACUUCACCGCCGGGAACGGCACCGGUGGUGAAUCCAUUUACGGCUCAAAGUUUGCGGACGAAAACUUCAUCAAGAAGCACACAGGUCCUGGCAUUCUAUCGAUGGCGAACGCGGGACCGGGCACGAAUGGAUCUCAGUUCUUCAUCUGCACCGUUAAGACGGAGUGGCUGGACGGGAAGCACGUGGUGUUCGGGGAGGUGGUGGAGGGCCUUGACGUGGUGAAGGAAAUCGAGAAGGUGGGAUCCAGCUCAGGCAAGACCGCCAAGCCCGUCGUCGUCGCUGACUGCGGGCAACUCUCCUAAUGCUCAUUCAUGCAAACGGUGUCGUUUUACUGCUUUGUCUUAUUUUAUUUUAGUCUGUUAAAGUUGAGUGAUUUGAGGUAUUUCUGUUAGGGUUGCUACGGCGGAGUCUUUCUUCCGAUCAUAAAACUCACACUACUGCUGUGCUACGUUAAAUAAAUUUAGGUUUAAUAAUUUUUUAAUCUUUAAUUCCUACUUCUUUUUCGCUUUUAACAUCAUUUUCGGCUUUUUAAUACUUUUUUCGUUGCUAUUUAAUCCUCCACGCAACUUAUAUACAAUCUAUAACAGUAUUAAAUUAUUGUUCACUGUUUAAAAUUUUUAUUAAUAUAUAUAUAUAUAUGUAGUUUUCAUUUAAUGAAAAUCAAUUCCAUUUUUUAAGUAAAUACUAAACAAAGCAAAAACUCUUCAUUGCUAUAUUGGGACAUAAACAACUGGUUUAUCUUCUACAGAAAAUCAUUGAUUAUUUUUUUAUUUUGUUGUCAUGGAACACAGAACAACAUUUGAAAGUUUUGGAUUGACCAUGUAUGUAUUUGUAUUUUAGAUUCAGUAAGGUAUUGUUUGAAAUGUUUUAAAACGCAAAAAUUGAAUUUCAAUGAAAAGUAUUUUAAAUUUUCAAUUAUAUCAAUAAAACUAAUUUAGUUUUAAAUAUAAUAAUUUGAUAUAUAAAUUACAAUAUUUAUUUUAAAUAAAUAAUAAAACUUUAAAAAACAUGUAGAAUUAUAUUAUAAAAUAUAUUAGCUUAUAAGUUUAUAAUCUGGUUUGAUCUAAGUUAAUCUAUUCGCGAUUAAACUUUUCGAUAAGAGAGGAAACUUUUAAUUUAAUGAUCUUUGAUUUAAUUUUAGAUUACAACUGUUUUAUUGAUUAGAUUUAUUUUGUAUGAAUUUUAGACUAUUCUGUUCUACCAAAUCACAAUAUAAAUUACGCCUCUUGGAACAUAUAUAAACAUAGAGAGACUUAGACUACAUAUGCGUUUUGUUUGUAAAUUCCCAUUUUAGAUAAACAAUCUAUUUUAUUUUAAAUAUAAAAUUAAACAAAUAUUUAACUAGUUUUUUGAGAAAUUGAAGUAUAUAUAUUUAUGGGAAAAUAUGUUUUUAAGAAAAAAACAACACAACACUCACGCACGCAUUAUAAAUAAACUGUGGUAUGUCUGGAUUAAUUUAUAAGUUUUGCUCACUUUAUUAUUUUAGUUCUGUCUUGGGUUUGUAUAGUCUGGAUGCAUUUAAUUCAUGACUUCGAUAAAUAUAAUCUAAUCAAAUUAAUUUUUUGUAUGAAUUAUAUUAGAUGGACAACUGGAUUGAGUUGAGUUUUUUUUUUUUUAUAUCUAAUUAUAAUUGGAUUGAGCAAGGAGUUAAUGAAUAUUAAAUUUAACAAUCCAAUUCUACAAUAAAUGUAUAAUAAAACAAUUAUUUAUCUAAUUAUAUUAUAAAAAAAGUAUAUUACAUUAUAUAUAUUAGAAAUAUUGCAAUUAUCUAAUAAUUAUUAAGAAAAGCAUUAAAGUAGUUUGUGAAAUAUUUUUCUUAAAAAUUAAAUAUUUUUUAAAUUACUUAUUUGAUCUAACUUAGCCCCAUUAUAAUUAGGUCGUUAAAUUAAAAAAAUAAAUUGGAUUCCAUCCGAUUAUAUUCAAUUAUAUUAUAUCAAAUUAAAUUAAAUUCGAUAUAAGGACAAGUUUAACCCCUAAUUUAUUGGGUUAUCAUUUUGGGCCGCACUUGUUAUAAUUGUUCCAUCACAUCAAUUCUGAUCUAUAAAAUAUAAUGGUUCCAUCGUGUUGCCAUCGUUACCCUUUGCUGUUACCACCGUCUCUUGCCAUCACUACUUGUCUAUGUUAUAUCAUGAAUAGAUUCAUGUAUUAGAUUAUAUAAUUUAAAAUAAUAUCAACGAAAAAAAAAUCCAUUGCACAAUCCAGAAAGAAAUCAUCUAUUAAAGGUAAAGCGAUAAUUUAUGGAUAUGGGGUGCAGAAAGAAAACCACAUUGGGCUUGGUUGGGGUUGGGAUUGGGCUGAGCUUCUUUGGAUUUGGGUACAUCGGUAGCUGUACUCGGUGUGCAUAGAGUUGUAUACGUAGAAGAAGACGUUAAAUAAGGAGGUUUCCUUCAAAAUCGUAAUGCAUAGUUUCCUCUGUCUGUGUUUCCUCCAAACGUGGAACUAACAUGUUAUUUAAAUUCACUGGAGCAGUUAAAAUUGACCAUUUUCAGUUACUUAUCAUGAUUGAAUGAUUAAUUUAAACGUAAAUACAUUGCAGCAUGAAUGAAGGCAUGCAUUGUCGCGAAGCAGAGCAUGAGGCGGGAAGCUUCCGAAGAGGAAAUGAUGAAAAAGUGGUGAGCCCCUUUGAUCAGAAGAGAGUGAAGGGAUAGUGACAGUGAUAGUGACAUUGAUGGGGAUUGCAGAGAACUCAAAGGGUUUGGUUCUGGCCGUCGCGUCGGGUGUGUUCAUAGGGGCAAGCUUCAUUUUGAAAAAGAAAGGUCUUAAACAAGCUGCUACUAACGGCACUCGUGCAGGUCUUCAUCCUUUUUAGAAUUUUAAUUUUGUUCAUGCUCAUUCUGAUUGCUAUGUAUGCGUGAAAUGUAAGUAAUUUUACCUACAGGAGUUGGAGGCUAUUCUUAUCUACUACAGCCUUUCUGGUGGGCUGGCAUGGUUACAAGUAUUUCUUUUUUUCUCUACUGUUAUUGUUACCAUUCUUAAAGCUUUAUUAUGUUUUUAUUUGGAUAUCAAAACUCACUGUUAUUGGUGGCAGUGUUUAUUGGGGAGGUUGCUAAUUUUGUGGCUUAUAUAUAUGCUCCUGCACUUCUCGUUACUCCCCUCGGCGCACUGAGUAUAAUUGUCAGGUAUCAGUGCCUUAGAUUUCUUGUCAUCAAUCUUAAUAUGUUAUCACAUUGUGACUUCCUGUUCAAACUCGCUCAAUCCAUAUGUGCAUUGGGAUAGUGCUGUUUUAGCCCACUUCUUGUUGAAGGAAAAGCUUCAGCAGAUGGGGAUUUUGGGUUGUGUGUUCUGCAUCGUGGGUUCAGUUCUCAUUGUCAUCCAUGCACCUCAAGAGCACGCUUUGAAUUCUGUACAAGAAAUAUGGGAUCUCGCCACUCAGCCUUGUUCGUUUUCUUUAUCUUUUCCUUAUUUUUAGUUACUCUUGUAUUAAGUUCAUUUGUGGUCUGUAAGUGUCGAUUCUCAUAAUCUCUUUUUUGUUUCAACAGUAUUUCUUGUUUAUGUGACGGUAACAGUGUCGAUAAUUUUAGCCUUGAUUUUGCAUUUUGAACCUCGCUAUGGUCAGAAAAAUAUGCUGGUCUACUUGGGAAUUUGUUCAUUGAUGGGCUCACUUACGGUACUUGUGUUUCACCGAUCACUGUGAUGCAAGCUUUGUUUUGAUAUUGUAAAGCACACACUGAGUAUAUGCUGUCUAAACUAUUCAGGUUAUGAGCACAAAAGCCAUAGGAAUUGCAAUCAAGCUUACAUUAGAAGGAAUAAGUCAAUUAACGUAUCCUCAAACUUGGUUUUUUCUUACCGUGGCUGUCAUAUGUAUCAUUACACAGCUGAACUACCUGAACAAGGUGAGUCCUGGAUAAAAUGAUGUCAACUCUCUUUUAUAGCAACUUACAUUUUUAUAAAAUUUUGUUUGCACUUGAAAAGUCAAUUUGAUUAUGGAAAUAUAAUAAUUUUUUUGUCAUGACUAGAGUCUUAUUUGUAAAUUUUAAGAGUCUCAUUAUCUUACAUCUUACUGUAAUGAGAAUUAAUUUACAAGGUGUAAGUCUUAGGUUUGAGACUCUUCUUAACUGGAUAUGCUUUAAAACUAACUUGCAUUAUGCAGAACACACGUAUUAAGAUUAUGCUCCAAAUCAGAGUUUCAUAACCACACUGCCUAGUUGUACUCUAAUACAAACUCUAUUUAUAAAUUCUUUACUCAUAAGGGUUAAUAGUAACAGUCUAGCUGUGUAUCAAAGGCCUCUGGUAAUAAGCUCAUGAAAGUUGCGACUCUAUAGUACAUGCUUUGGAAAUUUCAUGAUGAGGCUCUAAAGUUUCUGGCAGUCAGAAACCUUUUCCCUCUAAGUCUUUGGCAGAUAACUUCAUGAUAAGGCUAUUUAACAUUAUUGGUAAGUGGUAAUAGUACCUCAUGCCAUUUCCCAAUGUCAUAUUUGUGGAAAUUUCAGAGAAUAUGGUUGUUGCGUGCUUCACAUUUGCAUAUUAGUUAUAUAUCAUUUUCUGCAAAAUAUAUAAUCAAUCGAGCCUUUCUUGACUAGUUAAUUAUAUUUCAGCAAUCAGUCUUAUGAAUUUUAUAUUUUUGUGCAUGAAAAUUGAGUUCUUGCACUUGAUACAAACUUAAUUGUACAGACAAUUGAAAUUAAUGCGUACAAAAAUGAUUCUAUGUUAGUCUUUGGGCUCUUUUGUUGCGAAGAUUUAUUAUUUCAUCACCUAGUUACAGAGACAGGUUAACUGAAUUCUGAUGUUGUUUUUAUCGUCAUAAUAUUUCUUUGCAUAUCAACCAGCUAAAGUUUAUCUUGGUUUCCUUGAUCUGUUGACUAAUCUUGUACAUUUUUUCUAUAUGGAACUGUGUUUCAGGCACUGGAUACGUUCAACACAGCCAUUGUCUCUCCCGUACAUUAUGUCAUGUUCACAACUCUGACUAUUAUUGCUAGUGUGAUAAUGUUUAAGGUAUCAUGACAUUUUCAUAAUCUUUUGGAUUCCUUCGGUGCCAUAUCGAACUCUUUUUUAAAAAAUUUCUGUGCAGGAUUGGUCUGAUCAGAGUGCAAGCAGCAUAGCCUCUGAAAUAUGUGGAUUUAUCAUUGUCCUUUCAGGAACAAUCUUAUUGCAUGCGACAAGAGAAAAAGAACAACCUAACAUGCGAGGUACAAGUUAUGUUACUCUCAAUCAAUUGCUCACACCCGAUCGCUAAUCAUCAGUCUGUUUGUUGUUUGAAGUGUGUGCAUUACAGUUAGUUAACUUUAGAUAUUCGAGCCCAAUACCUCGAACAAAAAGACUCAUGGUUGUAGCUUCUAUUUGCUAUCUAAUGAGUAUCAAUAAUUCAUCCAUCCAUGAACUCUCUUGAUAGCACAGGCAGAGCGAUUUCGUUGCAUGGAGUAAACCUGAUUCGGUGAUGUUUACUUUGCAUUACUGUUUGGUGCAGGGUCCUUAACAUGGUACAUUGGUGAAGACUUGGUGAAGGGCAUUGAAGAUGAACGCCUGAACCUUAUUAUACACGGGUCAGAUUACAUUGAACAGUGACUUUUUCAACGUAAGAGAAUGCAACACUGCAAAGGUCAACCAAGUGGGUGCAUGAUUUGGAGCAUUUGCAACCUGUGUAGUUUAAGAAAUGUAGAAACUAUCUUAUACAAUGUGUGAUUUAAGCAAAUCCUUUUCAAAAUAAAAUAAGGAUUGCUGCCAGCCAGCCACAUUGCAAGACUGGAUAACAAUGCAGGAAUUAAAAUAGGUAAUUUGAAUUAUAAAAACUGAAGAAGGAAUUAAAGAGGAAGAGAUAUAAUGAUGGAGUGAAUUGAUGGUUGUUGGGUUUUUUUGGCUGAAAAUAGAUCCAUCUAUUUGCAGCACAUAAUGAAUGAAUGAAUUUGAAGAGCAGUGUGGAAGUAAUAAAUCGAGGCUUUGACAUGUGAAAUUGUGGUUGGAAAGGAGAAAAAAUUUCUACCAUUUGAAGCAGAUACAGUUCACACUCACACACUACGGAGCUUAUUUUUCCGACAUUUCAGACUCUGUUCAUUAAUUGUGGUGGCUAACUUCACGGCUCACUAAAUACUCAUCACUGCUAUGCCAACGGCUAUUCAAAUUACCAUUACAACUUGUAAUCAACAUGUUUUGUAACAUACAGAUUUUAAAUUUAUAAUUCGGUCCCAGGAUGUCAUAAUCUUGCACGUUUCCUUCCAUAAUUUCCGCUCCUGAGGGAACAGAACACCUCCACCCAUCAAUUAAAUCUCUCAAGAUUUGCGUCUUCGCUGUACUACAUUACUUAGACUUAAUUGUCCUGUUCCAUGACACUUGAAGAUGCAUAUCGAGAAAUUUAUAAUAAGAAAAAUGAUACUUUUACAUAAAUUUUUUACUUUCAUUUACAAUUGCUUUUGUUUGAGUCUUGAAGUGAAGAAUUUACCUAAUUAGUCAUAAUAGUAUACUUUACAAGAACAAUUUUGCUCCGUAAAUUCGUAAAUAUUUUUCUUUCAUUGACAACGUUGAUUUUUAUUGUGAUAAAAAGUUGAUUUUCUAUGGCAAAAACCAUUCUUAAAGUCAUCGGAAUGGUGAAUUAUUACAGACAUUAGCGUAACAUGCUUAUAUUCUGUACAUGGUUCUAUUUUGAUACUAGCUAGCGAUCCACCAUUAAUGAAUGUCGUAUCGUACCACCCUACAUGGUUUGAAUCCCAUUUGAAAAACGAUAUAUGGUACCGCAUUAAAUGUAACAGUUGAGGGUUGGAACUCAGAAAUGAGAGAUCAUUUACUGCUCUUCCACUUUUUUCGUCACUUUAAUUCAACUAUUUAAGUGUUCCUCGCACUCUGAUCACACCAAUCCAUAUCCAUUUCUUUCUUCCUUGCUUUUUGCUUAGUGGGCUUCCAUUCCAGCAUUCAUGGACUUGCAAGGGAAGCUUUUCUUAGCAGCAUUUGCCAUUCUUGCAGCGGCCAUUCAUGAAACGCAGGCAGACACUAUGGUCACUGGCACUGUCUUUUGUGACCAAUGCAAAGACGGACAGAGAUCCCUUUUCGAUUAUCCUCUCAAUGGUGAGUCAGAUCUAAGUCCUUCGACAUUUUGUUCUUGUCUCUGUUGAUGGCGUAUUCAUAGUCUUUCUGAAUUAUGUUUUGAAAAUGUUUACAUCUGACCUUUUCUUACAGACCUCAAAUUUAGUUUAAAGAAACACUAUCGUCUCAAACUCUAAUAAGAGAAUACUUCUAUUAGACUGAUAUUCAACCAAGUGGCAUACAUGACAACUUCAUUAACUUUAGAAUGGUCAAACAUAUUAAAAAGCUACAUAAUAUUCAUUUGUAAUUCACAGUUCAUGCCUUUUACACUCUUAAUUCGCAAAUUGUUUUGAGAUUAUAUAUGUCUACUCAUAUAAUGAUUUAUAUACAGCUGUGUUUUUUUAUAUCUAAAUGUUGUCAUCACAUCAUUUAUUAUUUGUUCUCUUUAUUAAUAAACCAAGUACAUGUAUCUACUUUUUAUCUCCCAUGCUAAAAUCUUGUGAGGUGAAAGAGUUCUUUUUCUUCUUUUUCCUGCUUCGGAUAAAAAGCAUGGACAAGUCAACCCCUUUAUUCUUUCAAUAAAUGAAGUUUGAAAAUAUUACAGGUGGCCAGCUGGUAAUUUAGAUGUUAAAUAAAUAAUGUGGUAACCAUAAAUCUGAUUACUUUUAAAGAUCAAUAUUUUUAAAUUUCUUUUGCACCCUCUUGCUUGCUGCAGGUGCAAAAGUAACUCUGUCCUGUGUUGACAGUAAUGGACAAAUUAUAAUGUCAAGAGAAGAAACAACCAAUUGGUUUGGAAGCUAUACGAUGAGGUUUGAUGGUGCACCGGACUUGAGUGGCUGUUCUGCCCGUGUCUCAGGAAGUGGGCAAGGGUCAAUGGGUUGUGGUGAAGGAGCUGGUCCUUCUCAAAAUCCCAAACUCAUGUUUAGGAUGUUUGACAUGGAGAUGUAUACGGUGGAUUCUCUCCUUGCUCAGCCUUCACAACCCAUGCAGUACUGCUCGAGAUCUUCCAACCCAGUGCCAGCACCAGUCACACCACCCAAUUCUACUCCACAUUUCAAGCUACCUCCACUGCCAGAAUUCCCUCCAUUACCAUCACUACCACCACUACCAUCAUUACCACCCCUACCACCAGUCAUCUUUGCAGAAGCUUCGGCAUGUCCAUCAGAGUAAGUUUAUACUUGACUUAUCAGUUCAAGUAGCAAUGUCAGUAUUUAAGUCAAGAAAAGGGACAUGGGAGAACUUAGCAAGCUCUACCUGUGUCUAAUAUGCAUUUAUGUAGUCGUUCUAAAACAUCAUAAUCUUAUACUACUAUUCAAUAACUAGGAUCAAUUGGUUCCACGUACAAAAUCAGGAUUUUCACAAACAAGUUUGAUUACAAUAUCGAUAAUUUUCUAAAUUGUCUAAAUUGUCAGGAAGUGGACAAUGUCGGAAUACAAAUGCUACUGGAGGGGUGUGAACCGGGACACUAAAGUAGCAGUGGCUUUUGGAAUGGUUGCGGCAAGGAGAUAUGGAACAGACAUUACACUGUGGCAUGGGUUGCAAGGGAAAGGAGAUCCUUACAGGACACUUCUCAGAGAAGGGAUCACUGCACUUCUUAAUUCCUAUAAUAGCUUUCAAUUCUCUUAUCAUCCUAUUGGGGUGGUUCAACACAUGAAUUUGGCUUUGAUGGGUUCAACCAGGAGUGUCCUCCUUACUGCUCUACACUUCAAGAGGGCCAAUUCUGGUGCUGGGAAUGUCACCUGCAAAUUUACCACUUGCAAAUAAUUUAUAGACAUUGAAAAGGAUUGUUUUGAGGGAAUAAUCAGUUCUAUUUCAAAGGUUCUCUGACAACUUUUGAUAAAAAAUUUCUUAACUCAAAAAAAUGCAGGAUAGAAAAUUGAAUACUCUUCAAUAGAUUGUCUUAAUCUUUAUUCUAUAUAUGGAGCUUGGUGUUGUAUGGUUUUUUACCUGCAUAGGCACUGGUAAUGGGACGCAUUUCUUUAGGAUAUUGUUACUACUUACAAGAAUCUAAAAGCACCACUCGAGGAAAAACUGAACUAAUAUGUAUGAAUUUAAGUACAGUGAAAUGGGGUUCUUUCUGCCAGCAUUGUUUGGAUGAGAGAUUCUGUAGUCGAUGAAUAAACAUUACAUGCUUUUCCCAAGCAAAUGCUAUUUCUCAGUAAGUUUCUUUCCGUUUCUAUCUAUCUACAUUCAAUUUAACCAAAUUACCAUAGAAGCAUUAAUCACAUUCCUAAUUGACUAUUAAUGAUUUUGUGCUGUUAAAUAUUCUAAUCAACAUUUUAUUAGAAACACCUAGCAUUAUAAAAUAUAAGAUACUUAUUACAUAUAAAAUAGUAAACACCUUGCGUAAUUAAAAUUAUAUAUUUCUAUUGGACUUAAUAACUUUAGUUAAUGAUAAAAGUUUAAGCUAAUCAAGCAGCUUAAACAUCUAAAAUUUGAAAGAAGUUUUGCUUUAGGAAUGAAAAAACCGAAGGAACAGUACGUUUGUAUCAAUGAAAAAACUAUACACUUAAGCUUUUACAAACUAUACACUUACAAAAGUUAUUAAUCCUAAAAGUUUGUUGACUAAUUUUCUACGAAAGCAACCUCUACUAUUCAUUUGCAGCCAUGCCGCGACAUAUUUCUCCAUUUGUCUUUCAAGUCAACCUGGUAAAAAUAAUUAGAUUAGUAUCAAAAGCAUGAAUUAAAAAGGCAAGUAUGUAUCUAACAACUUCUUAUCAAUCUUACUUCGGUUCUCUCUUCAAAUAUAUCUUUGUGAGCAUUUAGGAUUAGCUUCCAAUUUCCCAUGCCAAACCUGUACAUGUGAAAUAAAUAUAAUGAGGUUGGGAAAUUGUAUUCAAAUGGUAAUUAAUUCUACUUAUAUUCUCAAAUAAAGAAGAAGGGUAUCACAGUUGCAAUGAUAAAACAGCAUAUCAAGAACAAAUUUGUGUGAUCAAAAUUCAUAAGAAAAUCAUGAUUUUCCUAGUUUAGAACAAGGACAUACGUCUCUACGCCAUUCUUAAGUGUCUCUUCUUCUAACUGAGUCCACCUUUUUAUUUUUCUCCUUUUUGUAACGACGGUUGGUUUAUAGAUUUUCAAUGGAGAAUGUUUUCUCCUCUUGGGACUUUGCAAAUUAAAUCUUGAUGUUCCACCCUGCAGAUUAUCUACCGAAUCUCGCUGUAAAAGAGAAUGAACACAAUUACCUUUGAAGACAUUAAUAUUGCAGAUUUUUUAAGACAUUCAGAAAAAGAAUGAACAACAUAAAAAUUACAAAAGGAAAAAGAGGCAUAAAGAUAUUGGAUUGUCAUCAUAAUACAAAAUUAUAAUAUAAAAAAACACAAUUACCUCGUCAACACGUGCGGCAUUUUCCACUGGAUCAGUUUUAUUAUCAUUUAUAUCUUGUGGGCAAGAUAAAUCUGCCUCUAUAGUCUUCUGUACCUCCUCAUUAUCUUCCAUAGUUGUUGUUAAAAAAUCUUUAGCCAAUGCUUGCAAGUCUCCAGAAAUGCAAUCUCGAACCUUUUCAACUUCAACAAUUUUUGGUAAAGAAUCCUGAGCCAACAGCUCCUCAGAAAUGCAAUCCCCAAUCUUUUCAACCCCAGACAUGCAAUCUCCAAUCUUUUCAACUUCAACAGUGGUAGGUAAAUACAAAUUCUCAGCGGCGGCACUGUUACACUUUUGAACUUCUGUUGGACACAAACGCAUUUAAAUUCUAAUUAUUAUGACCAUAAAAUCAAACCAAUAGCAGUUAGUAUGUGUUUAAAUUUGUCACAUAGAACAAUCUUAUUCAUCACAUAGACACAUACUAUCUUCUCAACAUUAAACCAAAAAAUGAAAUUUCAGAUGAUAAAAAUGAUUUGGGAUGAUUACAAUUUAACAAAACAUACCUCCUUCUUCAUUUUGUUGGACCUUAUUCGUGUGCUCGGUGUGCUCGGUGUGCUCUAUAAGUUAGUAAUUGUCACAUAGAACAAUCUUAUUCAUCAUAUGACACAUACUAUCUUCUCAAAACAUUAAACUAAAAAAUGAAAUCUCAGAUGAUAAAAAUGAUUACAAUUUAACAAAACAUACCUCCUUCUUCGUUUAGUUGAGCCUUAUUUGUGUGCUCGGUGUGACCUAUAAGUUAGUAAUUGUCACACAGAACAAUCUUAUUCAUAAAACAUUAAACCAAAAAAUGAAAUCUGCUAAAAAUGAUUUCGGAUGAUACCUCCUUCUUGGUUUCGUUGGGUCUUAUUCGUGUGCUCGGUAGCUGUUAACGGAACAAGAGGAGUACCCAAAACGGUAAGGGCUUCUUCCAAACACGCCCUGAGCUUGAUAAUGGCAUCCCUUCUAGUUUUUACUGCGGCCAAUCGCUCCCUCGCUUGUGAAUCUAAAAGGGAAGUUUCAAUAUCCCUUCUCCACCCCUCCAACUCUACUGAGAACAGAAGGCUCUCUUCUCUGGAACCGGAACUAUUCAUAUACGGAAUCCUAUUCCGCCAUAUCCUGUUCACGGCGCGGAGGUAGAGAGGAUUGUGGCUGUAAAGAUUCAAACGCAAAUACUUGAUCGUGCACUCCACCGCCACGGCACAGUAAGCGGCACUCAUUGUGGCAGUGAUCGGAAAGCCAUCGGAGCGAAAGAGUUCCUCAAGAUGCUCGAGGAUUCUGAGAAAGUUUUCAGUAAUGUUAAUGCGAUCAGAAGAUAGGUGGUUUUGAAGAAUCUUGAGAAGAAAAGUUUUCUUGAAACGGGAAUCGGGAUCGGACAUGGAGACGAUUCGAGUGUCUGGGAGGCGGCUCCGAACAAAGAAUUCCAACAGGCACUGUCCAAGAUCAUCCAUUCUCUCCCUCUGCUUCCACUUCCCUCGCUUCUUCCCCUCUCUUUCUUUUUAAUUUCAAAAAAGCAAGGAUUCAUUUUAUUUCUUUUAUGUAAUAUAAAAAUAUUCAUUUUAUUUUAGAGGAGAAAAUUUAAUUAGCCAAAUACAUUAGGUAUAAAAAUAUUCAUUUUAUUUUAGAGGAGAAAAUUAUGUAUGCCUAAAAAAAGUGACUGUUAAAUAAGUUAUUAUUAUAUGUUAAUUCAUAAUAGUAAUAUGUAUUAUAAAAAUUAAAGUCACUAUUAGAAAAACAAGGUCACGUAAAAUAUCUUAUAUUAAAUUGUUAUAAAAAAAUCUUAAGAAAACCAUGUUUAUAAAAAAGUAAUAAUAGAAUGAUAAUAUUUAGAUGAAAAUAUAGGUAAUUUGAAAAUUCAUAUAUAUAAUUUAAUAAUUAGUUAAAGCAUUUAUUAAUGACAAUGAUAAAAAUUUUGAAAAUCGUGUUUUAGUAAAAUAGUAAAAUUCCAUUGUUUUAAUAUUAAAAUUUUUAAAAUAUAUAUAAAUAAGUUUUAUUAUUUAAUAACACAUAUUUUUAUUUUCAUUGUUAACUUUUUCAAAUUCCUAUAGACCUUUUCCUUUUCUUUUUAUUAUUUUUAUAGCUUUUUCUAUAAACUUAUUGGUAUUCCUAAAGCUUUUCUUAUGAACCUUUUUCUAUUUCUGUAACUGUUUUUCUUCUAUCUAGAUUAUCAAAAUUAAAAAUUUACUUAAAAUAUGAAUAGUUCAAUCAUUUUAUGUUUAACAUUUCUAUUUACAAAGUCAAAUUCAUUUUAAAACCACUGAUAUUUGAUAAAUGGAGAAAUGAUAAGCGUCACACACUACAAAGAUAACUUAAAAUUUACGCUGAAAUACACAAAGAAUGAAACAGAUACAUGAUAAUUAACAAAAGACUUAUUUUAAUCUAAUAUAUUUUUUCCUGAGAAAGACUUAUUUAUUAUUUAAAAAAACAUGUCAUAUUUUUUUAAGUAAAAAAAAAAUACAUUAAGCGAGAAAGAGAGAGAAAAUGUUUUAUAGAGUGAGUCCCACAAAAACUAACUCGUUUUCUUCUAAAUUUUUCUUUCAAAAUCAAAGGGAAAGAUUUAUUUAUUUUUGUAAUAAGUUUGGGUUUCACAAAAUCAAAUAGUGAGGGCCAGAGAUGAAUAAAAAUCAAGCAGUGAGGGCCAAAACACGCUUUAAUGAAGAAAGAGAAGAUUCACAGAAGUGGCAGAUACAUGCCAGGGAAUUAUUAUCACCACGAAAUCAAUGGUUUAGGACAAAAUGAGCUCCAAUAAGGAUGUGAAGUUUGAGGUUGAGGUUUAUUAUAAGAGCAACCUGGAAGAUGAUUUCUAUGCUGUCCAUGUGUCUAACUUUUGUAUGGACAUAUGGUCUCUUUCAACAAUUUAUCAUGAUAUUUUACAAUUCUUUUUAAUAACUUUUUGAUAAUACAGAUAUGUAUUAUUAUUUUAUUAAUUUAUUUAAAUUUAUGUUUAAAAUUAUUUUGAAACAUAUCAAUCAUAAACUGUCACGUAUACAUUUGUUAAAAAAAAAUUACUAAAAAAAUUUUUCUUUACACAGAUAAGCUACAAACAAAGAUGAAUACUGAUUUGGAUAGGACAACUAUUACAAGUGGACCAAUCAAAGCCUUGACCACCAUUUUCAUUCCAAAGCAUAUCCUUAAGAUAUAAAUCACAGAAAAUUUUACACAUGUCAUCAUAUCAUAAUUUCAUAACCUUUGUCAUGUUCUCAAUCCUUUUGGUUAAUAAUUGAUUAAAAAAAAACAUUUUGACUUCUCCAUCAUUCAUCCACAAUGUUCAUUGUUUUCCUUCAAAUUUGUUAUGGAUACUAUCAAAUUUAUAAUACAAUUGAUUGAUAAUACCAACACGGGACCAAAGAAGUAAGUGAUUGUAUUAAAAAACAUUGUUGAUAUUUCUUAUUAAGCUUAAUAUUUGGACAAGAGUUUGUUGAUGCUGUCACUUUAGUAUUGCUAGUAUGACUUUCUUUUUUUCUUUUUUAACUUUAGAUGUAGCUUUUUUAUAUUGGGUAUUAUUUUUAUACCUCGUUUUUUAAACUAUUCAUGAGACUCAACGAGUUAAUCUAACCUAAAAUAAGAAAAUAUUUUAAGAUAUAAUUAUUAGUGAAAAUAUUCAUAUAUAUUAUUAAAUAUUUGUAUAUUGUGAUUUUUUUAGUACAUGUAAAUCAGAUAAAAAUUCAUAUUAUCUCGUUAAUUAUUAUAUAUAUUACAAGUCAUAAUAUUUGUUGAUAUUUUUUUAUAUUGGUAAUUUUAUUACACGAGUUAUACAAUCUAAAUUUUUUAUAAAUAUAUAUAGUAUUUUAUUAAGAAAUAUAUACAUUAUCUUUUGUUCAAAAUCAUCUAAACUUUUUUUAUUUGAACCUUAUAUACCAGGGAAUCUUAUCUUGUAUUCUAACUUUGUAAAAUACAUAUAAGAAUAUUUUAAUUAUUUGAUAUUUUGUCAUUUAUUUGAAGAUCAUACUUAAAAUUUCGGUAAAAACAUUACUUUGUAUUACUAAAUUUAAUUUAAGUAGAAAUUCAAUAUUUAUUGUUUGUAUUAGUUGUAUAUUGUUAAAUUAAUUAAAUAAACUAUUGUGCUGUAAAUUUAUAUUAGUGUAUUUUUGGGAUAUAUGAUGUGACUAGUUUAAUCCGAUAAUUUUGAGAUACACAUGGUUUACAGAAAAUUAAAAUGUAUAGAAAUGAAUUACAUGGAUGAUUUUCUUAUAAUGCAAAUCUAAGUGGAUGUUAGCUUAAAUGGGUGAUCCAUCUCCCUACCAACUUUGUUUACAGCUGGCAGAGUAUCCACUUCAGAAAGAAGAAAAAAAACGUGUUUUUUUGUAUUUUAUUCAAAAAUGAUAUUUAUUAAAAAACUCGUGUAAAAAAUAAUUUUCUAAUUUCAAACAGUAAAAUAAUAUGUUUUUUUUUAUAAUCUUAUCAUAAAUAAAACAACUCCUGCACACAGUAUUUAAGGGUUUUGAUAUUGUGACAAAAUCUGAAUUGCUAAAUUGAUAAUCCAACUGUUUAAUUAAGUAAUUCAAAUUUAUCAAAAGAACUGUUUAAUUAAUUAAUAAUUGGCCAUAAAGCAGUUGCAUAAAAAACUUUUAACUACAAAAAAAGAAAGAGUAAACAUCUCAGAAUCUUUAUGGUGGGAUUAACUUUUUCUUACAAACUGCAAAUGGUUAAGAACUUAGUAGUAACCAAAAACAUUAAACUAGAUUUCUAUUUAGAAAAAAAAAAAAAAAAACUACUAACGAAAAACAGAGGUGCAUGUAAAAGAACAGAGGAGUUUCGAAAACAACAAAAACUUAUCUUUUCUAGUAUGUAAAACAACCCUGUUUGUAGUUUUGUUUUACAGACUUUAUUUAUAUACGGUCAUCACCUAAUGUGGUUAGUUGAGUAUAGUGGUGAAGAAGCAAGUGGGGCUAGGCAAAGGUGUGUCAAGAAGCGAAGAAAAAACUUGUGUGGUGGUUGUUGCGGUGGGUGGCAGUGCGGUGAACAUGGGUUCUCAAGUGUCUAAACAGAUGGAACGGAGAAAGACAAUUCACACAGAGAAGAAAGUUCUCUCCGAUCUGAAAACGUCCGGAGAAGAGUACCCUGGCUCUGAGUACCGUCCUCAAGACAGGAAAAACUGGAUGUCUGGUCUGAACCCAGAGAAACUACGCAUCAACCAGAUCGUCUGGCCUGGGACGCACGAUUCUGCCACCAACAAAAUCGGCAUCCCCCUCGUCACUCGUCCUUUCGCCCAGUGCCAAUCGCUCUCCAUAUACCGGCAGUUGGUCCUUGGUACCCGCGUCCUUGACAUUCGGGUCCAAGAAAACCGUAAAAUCUGCCAUGGCAUCCUGGUCACCUACAGCGUGGACGUGGUCCUGAACGACGUGAAGAAGUUCCUGUCUGAGACACAGUCGGAGGUGAUCAUCCUGGAGAUCAGAACAGAGUACGGGCACGAGGACCCACCCGAAUUCGAUAAGUACUUGGAGGAGCAGUUGGGGGAGUUUCUGAUCCCUCAGGACGAGGGCGUUUUCGGGAAGAGCAUAGCGGAGCUGUUGCCGAAGAGAGUUAUUUGCGUGUGGAAGCCCAGAAAAUCGGCCCAGCCCAAAGCAGGGAGUCCUCUGUGGAGUGCGGGCUUUCUGAAGGAUAAUUGGGUGAACACGGAUCUUCCUUCCACGAAGUUCGACGCUAAUUUAAAGCACUUGAGCGAGCACCCACCCGUGACGUCGCGCAAGUACUUCUACAGGGUGGAGAACACCGUUACGCCAGUGGCCGAUAACCCUGUUCUGUGCGUGAAACCCGUUACACGACGGAUUCAUGGAUACGCCAGGCUCUUCAUCGCUCAGUGCUUCGCUAAAGGCAUCGCUGAUAAGCUUCAGGUUCUCUCCACCGAUUUCAUCGAGGAGGAUUUUGUUGAUGCCUGCGCCGGACUCACUCAUGCAAGGGUCGAAGGCAAAGCCUGAACUCACCUGUUUCAUGUCUGUCAGUCAUGCUUUUCUUUCUCAAUUUCUUUUUUAUUUUAUCUGUACAUUAUUAUAUAUGCUUUCAUCAAUCUCCUCUUGUACUGUGAAUAGAUUGGAUUCUGAAUUGUGAACUGUGAAUUGUGAGGAUAUUUUCCAGAAUGUCUGUCAGAUGCGUGUGCAAAAUAAAUCGAAAUUAUAACUGAAAAACAGUUUCUUACAGGUCCUUCAUUCUGUCAUCCAAUUAUCAAAUAUGUUCUAUAAUUGUACAGUUUCUUUUUCAAAACUUUAGACAAAAUAUUCUCACACGAUACCAACUUUGAAUUAAUUACACAGCAACACAAACAAAAAUAUAUAUAUAUAUAUAUAUAUAUAUAUUAAAUAUUAUUAUUUAAUUAUUUAUAAUUUCAAGAAAGAUAUUUAUUUGGAAUAUAAAUAUUAUUUUUAUCUCCAUGGAGUAUAUGAAAAAGCACAAGUUACUUUUAUACAUUUUUUAAGUUGAAAUUUUGAAAGUGAUCGUUUCCUAUAUACUACCUGUUAUUAAAUCUAGUCGUGGGUGUAAAGGAAAACUGCUUGUGUAAUUCGUGAUUCAUGGAGUACUCGUCUCUUUGAUUUUCAGGUCUGAUGUAAGAUUAUGAAUUUUUUAAGCAGUCAAUAGUUAUUGUUCUUGUUCAAGGGGUAGAGAAUCUUCCGUUAGACCAUUUGUGAAUAUGAAUUUGUGUUUGUUCUCUUUAAAAUGAACAUUCUUUCUUUAUUUAUAGAAUUUUUUUUCCCUUCUCCUUUUUUAGAUUUUAAGAGGUUAAUGAAAUCAUUUCCAAAAGAUUCUUUUAUGUGCUGUAUACAUUAAUUUUUCUUUGAAAUAAAUUAGGCAGGUUAAGUUAUAACUUUAUUGUAAUUUGGGUUGUUAUAUUUUUAAGUAUAAAGAUGUGUAUUUUAACUAUUAGUCAUAAUUUUUAAUUUAGUGAUAAACGCUUGAUCUAAUAAUUGAUGUUUGAUCUAACCAUUAAUACAAGAGUCAUGAAUUUGAUUCACAAUAAUACAAUUGUUGAAGAGAGAUAAUUGCAUAUUACAUAAAAUAUCUCAAAAGCUUAUGCUAAGUGGACUAAAUCACACUCGAAGAUUCACAGGACAAUUAUGAAUCAUGAUAUUUGAAUAGUUGCUCGUUUAAUUAAAAAUAAAUAAAAUUAUGAUUUGUCAUUCCAUCCUCAAUGUCAAUAAAACAAAGAAGAACAUGUUCCCCAUUUCAUGGUCCAAAAAUUGGAUCAGUCAACAUAGGUGAGAGAUAUUCCAAACCAAGAUUAACAAAAUUGUGGUACAAAGCAACAUGUUUGUUGAAACUUUAUUUGACAUAACGUUGGUUGGAUUGGAUUAAUAGGUUACUGAAUAGAAGCAUGUUGUCUUUUUCAAAAAAUUUCUUAUACAUUAUGGCUUAGUAUGUUGCCAACAAAGUUAAAUUUCCAAAAAUAGUGAAUAUAAUUGGUGUGAUUAAAAGUGUCAAAAAAAUUCGCAAAUAUGGAUAUUUGCUGAUAAAGUCCGCGGAGAAUAAAGUUCGCGGAGAAUAGUUACUAUGCACGAAUAUUUAUUACGUGCAAAUAUCCAUAAAUAUUUACUAUGUGCAAGAAUGAGUAGCGAAUAUUUUAAUAUCCGUUUCUAAACAUAGUAUACUACCCGACCCGCAGGUAUAUGUUAUCUACAAAAAAUAAAUAAAAAAUAAUUUAUAUAUUUUAAAUUAAAUUUAAUUAGAAAUAAAAUUAUAUUAUAUUUUAUUAGGUUAAUUUAAUUAAAUUUGAAUUGUAAUUUACAUUUUAUUUAAUUUAUAUUAUAUUAUAUUUUUUCUUUUGUAAUCUUAUUUUAAAAAUAUAUAAAAUAUUUUUUUUAAAUAUUUUAAAACCCGCAUAUAUUUUCUAAACGGAUACUCGACAUAUAACGAAUUGGAUUGCAGGUAUAAUUUUAUCUGGUGAAUCGGAUUGCGAGUAAGUAUUAUUCGUAUCCAAUUGGAUACCCGUUAUCAUCCCGUGACACAAUAUAAGAAAGAUGUUUUGGCAUUUGAUUGUGAUGAGAAUAAAGUAAUACGAGAAAGUGAUACAUAAAAGGGGAAAUGAGUUGUAUCUUAGGAGAAUUUAGUCAAAUUAUGAAAGUCAUGUUGCUUAUUAGUGGCAAAAAAAAUUUUACAUGCCAAAGAUUAUUCCAUGUUCAAUCAAUAAAAACCUCAAAAGAAACUAUAAAUUAUAUAUGCAUAUUAAGUGGAAGAAAGUGCAGACUCCUGUGUGCAUAGUCUUAUUUUAGUAAAUCCAAUAGUUUCAUAUUACUUCCAAGUUGAGAUUAAAAGUAAAUUAUAGACAUUUUUCUCUAUUAACUCUCAUAUGUGAAUUUUAAGUAAAUUUCUAAAUAUGAGAAUGAAUAUUAAUCAUGUUUAGCAAAUUUAAAAUUAUAAUAUUGGGAUAACAUUUUUUCUUAAAAAUUUUAAUAUUAUAAUAAGAAACUAGAUUUUGAAAACGUUAAAAAUGGUAAAAAAAUAUUAACAUAAAAAAUAUCUCAAACUAUUUUAGAAUAAUAAAAUUGAUGUGUAAUUGUAAAACUACUGUGUAAAAAAACAAUUGUCAAGUGAAAUAUUUUAGAAUAAUAAAAUUGAUAUAUAUUAGUAAAACUACUAGGUGUAAAUAACAAUUUUCAAGAUAUCACACAGCUUGAAUUGCACUAUAAGGAAUCGGGGGUUACUCCCUAUACCUCCCCAAUUCUAACCCCCACCCCCCAUUCCAUUUUUAAGAUUUGUUUUAUUAGUUUACUUUUUAUAUUAAUUUUCAGAUAUUUUAAUAAUGGAAUUUAUAUGUUUUGAUGUAUUAUUUUUAAAUAUAUUUUUAACGUAUAAAUGGGAGAGUGAGAGUUGCAGAGAGCGUUUGGAAGAGGAGCGUUUCAAAAGCUUUGGGGGGGUGGGGGGGGGAAUACGAAGGAGAGGAAUUUGAAUCUGUGUGUUUUGACUGAGACAGACUGUAAAAGAGUAGGUUAACUUUAGUAAAUAGGUGUAAAACGGUAAAAAUAAAAAAAAACAUAAAGAUUAAUUUUGUAUUUAAAAAAAAAUCCAAAAAAAUUGGGGGGUGGGGGUUGGAAUUGGAGAGGUACAGGGAGUAACUCCCUAAGGAAUCGGCUUUUAAAGAUGGAAAUGGACAGGGGAUUAUAACCAAUUUUGGGCCAAAAUAAUUUCGAAGUACUGGACCAGCUUAAAGGGGUUUCUUCCUGCAUCUUCGUUAUUUUCUCCUUACACCCCAUUGUUUUCUUUCUGCACCUCUAAAUUUUUCCUUGCUUUCCAUUUUGCCGCUGUAAUUAUAUAUAUUUAUUAAAUAUUUUAAUUCAUUUACAUCUUUUUACUACGUCUCAUACAAUCAAUCGAAACCCUUUCACAGCCAUUCACCAAGGUAAAGUUUUUUAUUUGAAGUUGUACUGGUGGGUGUGGAUUUUUCAGCGUGGUGAUUUGAGAGUGGGGUGUAUGUAAGAAAAACUAGAUUACUUGAUUUGUUUUUGAAGAUUCUGUUAAUUGGAACAUGAAAUUUGAUUCGGAUCUUCGGAUGCAGGAAUCAAAACCAGAUUAUCUGUAAUAAAUCGGAUAUUGAAAUUCGAUGAAGUUGUAUAGAUCGAAUUUCAUGAUCCUCUGGGAAAUGUUAGGAGUAAAUCUCACUUGACAAAUAUUAUAUUUAAUGUCACAAUUAGUAAGUGUUAUGCAUAAUAACAACGUUAAUGAAAAAUCUAGCCUUUAUAUAUUUUUAUUUAUUAUUUGGUGACUUAUGUUUCUCAUUUUGUUGUGUUAUCUAUUAAAACAAAAAACAUUAAAUACCAAAACCGAAUUUAAACUAUUAGAGAAAUACGAAAUUUUCUUAAAACAUCAAAUCAAAUCAAAUCUUACAAUAUCUUUAACAAUCCCCUAAUGAGUUUGAAUCUCACUGUAAUACAUUCUAAACUACUUAAAUAUUCAUAUAUGAUAUAUUACCCUUUUAUAUGAAUAUUAGUUUUAAAUUAUUCUUUCAACCAUUCUUAUACUUAUUAGAAUCCUGUCAAAUAGUGAAAUUACUAAUUAAGUUAUCGAUAACAAUAUAUAAAUGCAUUAUAUAUAAAUGCAAUAUAAUAAUAGAUAUAUUAUAAAUAAAAUAAAUUAUAGUUAUUGAAGUAAUAAAUAUUAUAAAUAAUUGUGUGAAUAAAUUUUUGUUAUGAAUAAUUAUUUAAAUUUGAAAAAAAUAGGUAUUAAAAGAGUAAAAUUGUAUAUUAGUUUUUCUAUAAUGAGUAAUUAUUUGAGUGUCAUAUCGCAGAGCACGGCGGGUUCAGUGAGCAAUGCGGUGGAAGUUGGAGAGAAAAGCUUAAAGCAUCAUUAUGCUGUUUUCAUGGCCUUGCAUAAGUGUCAGGUUAGGUUGCAGAGGCUAUUUAUUUCUGAUUUUUGAAUGCCACUGUUUUCUAAUUCUUUGGGCAACUUUUGAUAUUAGGGACAGGUAAGAAAUGCGAAUUUUAUUUAUUCAUUUAUUUAAAGUUUAUUAUAUUUUUGUAUUGUAAGAAUAGUAAAAAGUAUAAAAAUAAAAUACAAAAGAAAAUGGAAAGUAGAUAAAAUGGAAAAAUAAAAUAAAUUUACAAAACUAUACGAAAUAAUAUUAAAGCUUCUAAUGUAUGAAUUUAAGUAUUGUUUGGAUGAGAAAUUCUGUAGUCGAUGAAUAACCAUGACAUGCUUUUCCCAAGCAAAUGCUAUUUGUCAGUAAGUUUCUUUCCGUUUCUAUCUAUCUACAUUCAAUUUAACGAAAUUACCUUAGAAGCAUUAAUCACAUUCCUAAUUGACUAUUAAUGAUUUUUUUUAUUAGAAACACCUUGCAUUAUAAAAUAUAAGAUGCAUAUUAAAUAUAAAAUAUUAAACACCUAGCGUAAUUAAAGUUACAUAUUUGUAUUGCACCUACUGACUUUAAUUUAUGAUAAAAGUUUCAACUAAUCAAGCUGCUUAAACAUCUAAAAUUUGAAUGAAGUUUUGCUUUAGGAAUGAAAAAACCGAAGCAACACCACAUUCUUAAUUUUUACACUACAUUUCCUUCAAAAAGCUAAUAAUCCUAAAAAGUUUGUUGCCUAAUUUUCCAUGAACUCAAACUCUAUGAUUUAUUUGCUCCAUAGCGUGUUAUAUUUCUCCAUUUGUCCUUCAAAUUAACCUGACAAAAAUAAUUAGAUCAGUAUCAUAAGCAUGAACUAAAAAAGCAAGUAUAUAUCAACAACUUCUUAUCAAUCUUACUUCGGUUCUCUCUUCAAAUAUAUCCUUGUGAGCAUUUAGGAUUAGCUUCCAAUUUCCCCUGCCAAACCUGUGAAAUAAAUAUAAUGAGGUUGGAAAAUCGUAUUCAAAUGUUAAUUAAUUCUACUUAUAUUCUCAAAUAAAGAAGAAUAUCACACUUGCAAUGAUAAAACAACAUAUCAAGAAAAAAAUUGUGUGAUCAAAAUUCAAAAGAAAAUCAUGAUUUUUCUACUUUAGAACAAUCACAUACUUCUCUACACCAUUCUUAAGUGUCUCUUCUUCUAAGUGACUCCACCUUUUUGUUUUUCUUCUUUUUGUAAAGGCGUUUGAUUUAUAGAUUUUCAAUGGAGAAUGUUUUUUCUUAUUGGGACUACGUAAAUUAAAUCUUGAUGUUCCACCUUGCAGAUUAUCUUCUGAAUCCUCCUGCAAAAAGAGAAUGAACACAAUUACCUUUGAAGACAUUAAUAUUGCACAGUUUAAUUACAAAUCUUUUGAAGACAUUCAUAAAAGAAUGAACAACAUAAAAAUUAUAAGGAAAAACAGGCAUAAAAAAAAAAGAUAUUUGUCAUUCCUAUAAAUAAACAUAAAGUCUUUUCUAAAGAGUCAAAAGAAAUCAUAAUAAGAAAUUAUAAUAUAAAAAGAUACAAUUACCUCAUCAACACGUGCUGCAUUUUUCACUUGAGCCACCUCAUCAUCACUUAUAUCCGUGGAGCAGGAUAAAUAUGUCUCCUCGUUAUCUUCCAUAGUUGUUGUUAAAGAAUCCUUAGCCAAGGCUUGCAUCUUCCCAUAAAUGCAAUCCCCUGGUAAAUGCAAAUUCUCAGCAAUGAAAAUAUGAUCAAGUUUAAAUUCUAAUUACUAUGACCAUAAAAUAAAACCAAUAGCUAUUAGUAUGUGUUUAAAUUAUAAGUAUGAGUUAUAAGUUAGUAAUUCUCACACAGAACAAUCUUAUUCAUCACAUAGACACAUACUAUCUUCACAAAACAUUAAACAAAAAAUGAAAUCUCAGAUGAUAAAAAUGAUUUGGAAUGAUACCUCUUUCUUCGUUUUCUUGGGCCUUAUUUGUGUGUUCUGUAACUGUUAACUGAGCAAAAGGAGAACCCAAAACGGUACAGGCUUCGUCGAAAAACGCCCUGAGCUUGAUAAUGGCAUCCCCUCUAGUAUCUAUGGAAGCCAAUCGCUUCCUCAUUUGUGAAUCCGAAAGGGAAGUUUCGAUGUCCUUUUUCCAUUGCUCCAACUCCACCGAGAAUGGAAGACUCCCUUCUCUGGAACCGGAACUAUUCUGAUGCGGAAUCCUAACUUGCCAUAUCCUCUUCACUGCGCGGAGGUAGAGAAGAUCGUGGUGAAGAUUCAGAUGCAGAUACCUGAUUGUGCAUUCCACCGCCACGGCGCAGUAGGCGGCACUCAAGGUGGCAGGAACCGGAAAGGCAUCGCAAAGAAAGAGUUCUUCAAGAUGUUCGAGGAUUUUGAGAAUGUUUUCGGAGAUGUUGAUGGUCGGAGAAGAAAGGUCAUUUUGAAUGAUUUUAAGAAGGAAUAUCCUUUUAAAACCGGAAUCAUGAUUAGACUUAGACAUGGAAAAAACUCUAAGCAUAUUUUUGACCAUAUUAUCUUUCUCUUCUGGGUCUGGAAAGGGGCUCCGAAUAAGAAAUUCUAAUAGACAGUGCCGAAGAUCAUCCAUUCUCUCCAUCUGCUUCCCCUUUCCUUACUUCUUCACUCUCUUUUUAAUUUCAAUAACUAGCCCAACGGUUCAUUUUCUUUCUUUUAUAUAUAUCAAGAUAAUUAUUUUAAUUAAUGUUUUAUUAAAUUAAAUAUUAUUGACAUAUUAUAUUUAAUCAGCCAAAUAUAUCAUGUAUAAAAAUAUUCAUUUUAUUUUAGAAUCGAAAAUUAUGUAUGCCUAAGAAAAGUGGCUGUUAAAUAAGUUGUUAUUAUUAUAUGAUAAAUCUUAUUUUAAAUUGUUAUAAAAAAAUCUUAAGAAAACCAUGUUUAUAUACAUAUAUAUACAGCUUUCUCUGAAAACCUUUUCAUUUCAUAUUCCUGUAGCUUUUUUUAUAAACCUGUUUGUAUUCUAAUAGUUUUUCUUUUCCCUAUGAACCUUUUCCUCUUCCUUCUGUUUUUCUUUUAUUUAGAUUAUCUAAAUUAAAAUUUUAUAAUAGUUGAACUAUUUUAUGUUUAACAAUUUUAUUUACAAAGUCAAAUUCAUUUUAAAACCAUUGAUAUUUAAUAAAUGAAGAAAUGAUAAACAUCACAAACUACAUGUAAAAUUUACGUUGAGUACACAAAUAAUAAAACAUAUACACGAUAAAUUAACAAAAGACUUAUUUUAAUCUAAUAUUUUUUUUUUCCUAAGAAAGACUUAUUUAUUAUUUAAAAAAUAUAUAUGUGAAUAUUAUUUCUUACAAACUGCAAAUUAUAUAUGUGAAUAUGAUUUCUGAACGACAAAUGGUUAAGAACCUAGUAGUAACCAAAAACAUUAAACUAGAUUUCUGUUUAGAAAAAAACUGCUAACGGAAAACAGAGGUGCAAGUAAGAACAGAGGAGUUUCGAAAACAACAAAAACUUAUCUUUACUAGUAUGGAAAACAACCCUGUUUGUAAUUUUGUUUUGCAGAGUUUAUAUAUAUAUAUAUAUAUAUAUAUAUAUAUAUAUAUAUAUAUAUAUAUAUAUAUAUAGUCAUCACCUAACGUGGUUAGUUGAGUAUAGUGGUGAAGUUUAAAUUGAAGUUUUGAAAGUGAUGGUUUCCUAUAUACUAAACGUUAAAACAAAUAUAAUUUUAAAAAUAUAUAUACAUAACUGUGUAAGAAUGAUAUUACAAAACGUUAAAACAAAUAUAAUUUAAACAUAUAUGAUAUUAAAAAUUCAUAUGAAAAUUAUUAUUUAAUUAUUUUAAAAUACAAAAUAUAUUUAAUUAUUAAUUUUAUUAAAUAAAUAGAUUAUUUUGUAUUUAUUAGAAAAGUUAGAAUAGUUAGGUUAAACGAUGACAGAUAACAUUUUUUUUUAUACAAUGGUGUAAAUACAAGGAUUUAAAUAGGUGAAUUUGUCUUUGGAAAGGAAAUAAUCCAAAUUCAAAUGUAUCCAUACACUAAUCUUGUUUAUUGCACUCUCAUGUGAUUCUACCAUUUUUUAGUGUCUUAAAUAUGUUUAUUGAAAGUUUAGUAUUAAUAAUAUAUAUUUUUAAAUAUUAUAAAUACAACUAAAAUCAUCAAUCAAGAAAUUUAAACUAUUUAACCCAAUAACAACAAUAAACCAUUAUAAUAAAUGGAUUUCAUAAGUGACAAGUCUUGAAAAAAUUCAGAAGUGUCAAAAUAAAUCUACAAAAUUUUUAAAGAUACAGAAUAUAUAAAAUAAAUUAAAAAUAAAUAAAUUUUAUUUAUAUAUUAAAAUUCGGGGGCGACCCUUUAUUACAAACCAAGAGUAGAUUUGAUUACACCAAUUUAUUGUUAUUGUAAAUUAUAUUUAUAAACAGAUUAUAGAACUUUUAGUUUGAUUAAAUAAUAAUUUUCUGGUAUUUUUGUUUUUCGUACUCCUCAACCUAUGAUAUUUAUCAUAUAUGCAUCCAUGCUGAGGUAAAAAUAUUAAUUAAAAGUUGAGUAAAAAAUAAUUUUAUAUUUUUAUGCAAUAAAAAAUAUUUGUUUUUAAAUACCACUAUUUUUACAUGUUGUAUAAGUGCACAGUAAAAACCCCAUAGGUCAAUAUUAAAUUUAAAGUUUACAUAGAUAAAUUGGUAAUAUCUUUUACUUUAAUUGAUGAAAAGAUAAAUUUGCCCACGUAAAAAAUGUGUUAAAAGAAAAUUCAUGAAGACAAUUUUUUUGACAACGGAACACGUGUCAUUACUUUAUUAGUCUAUUUGAAUUUAUUUUUAAAAAAAUAUUUAAAACGAAUCAAUCACAAGUUGUCACGUAUGCGUUAUAAAAAAUUGUUAAAAAAAUAUUGUUAAAAGUACAUUUUCCUUUUUAUAUGUACGAACACAAUAUAAAGCAACCACGACCCAUAUGCUCUUCUCUUCCAUGGACGAUUUCAUGCAUCUAAAUUUGCCCUAAUUCUCCAUCUCUACGCAUCAAAAGAGUUUAUAUGGAGAGAGAGAGAGGAGGGGAAUGGAUUGAAAUGGACUUAUGCAAUUUAAUUAAAACCAUUGACGUUUUAUCCAAUUCGCAUGCAGGCUUAAAUUCACGUAGUGCUUUUUAAGGAUAAUGCUACUUUUAUAUCAUUUUAAAUUUAAAAUAAAUUAUUUUUUAAUAUAUAUCUUGUAUUUUAGAUUUAUAAUGAAUAAUUAAAGUAAUGUAAAGUCAUUUCUAAUCAUUUAAUAAGAAUAUUGAAAUUUAAUUCUUUUAAUAUAACAAUGAAAUAUAGUGGAUUGAAAAUAUAGAAAAUUAAUAUUAAGGGUGGAUAAAAUUAACUCAAUUGUAUUAAAUUAUUAAUUAACUAUAUUAUAUUGAAUAAAGAAAAACUGAAUUAUUUACAAUAAAAUUGAAUUGUCCUAUUUUAGAGUUUAGUUUUAGAAAAUUCAACAUCUAAAGGUAUGGUUGAGAUAAAUACUCAUUAACUCAAAACUAAUUCAUUUUACAUAUUUUUAAUUGUUUGAGAGUUUUCAAAAUUACAUUUUAGUUUGACUAUUGUCGAUAUUAGAUCAAAUUUUGUCAAUUUUCGAUAGAAACUAACUUUUUGAAUUCAAUCGAUUUUUGACAAGGGUCAACUCAAUCAAAUUUCGUUUUGAUCUCACCUUACUCAUAUCAACUUUUAAUUUUAUUUCUUUAUAGGACAAUGUAUAUUAUGAAUACAAUGGAUAGAUACUAAUUAAUUUAGUUUUAAUUUUGUACAGUUUAGUUUAAAAUUAGUAUAGUUCAAAAAUAGGUUAGAUAGUAAAAGUUCAAUUGAGAUUAUAGAUGAAUACAAUUAGUUCAAUUAAAAUAAACUAAUUUUUGCUUAUUGCAAAUUUUAAUAAUACGCAAUUCAUUUUACCUACCUCUAACUAAAAGGAUUAAAUGAGAGAAACAACAUUCUCCUCCUAUUACUAUAAAAUUUAGUCAUGAAAUAUUUAUUUACUUAUAUUUAGUUAAGUAGUACAUAUUUUUUUUAAAAAAAAAUUCUCAUCUUAAAAUGUAUAAUAAAUUAAAUGACGAUCUUUCUUCCAUUGCUUAUCUAGAAGACGAGUGACAUAUCAAAAUAGAUUUAAAACUUCAAGAUUUUUAUAAUUUCCAAGAGAACUCUGUAACUAAUAACUUUCUACAACUUCAAGUAGCUAAGCCACAACCAUGUGAAAAUGUUGUCGAUGACUUUCAUCAUUCAGAGCAUAAAGAAAUGGCUCUAAUACGAUAUGUAAUUAAUAUAUCGUUCCAUUAAGAGUGUGUGUGCAUGAAAAUCACUCACUCAGUAUAAAAAUAUUUUAUGUAUGGCAAGAGUUAGAAGUCGAUUAAUAACCUCAAACUUAUAAGAUUUACGUUAAUGUAGUGAAUUAUAGACGGAUCUUAAUGGUUACAGGAGAGACAUUCACCCCAAAUAUUUUUAAAAUUUAUAUACAAUUUAAAAUAUGUUUUUAAGACUUUAUUUCAUUUUAAUAUAUUUUGUAUUUAUAUAUAAAGAUUUUAACAUCUCAAUAUGUGUUGAAGAGCCAAAAAUGACUUUGGUUAAAAGAUUGAAAAAUAUUAAAUAUAAGUCAUACUCAAUUUCAACAUGCAAUCUAUGUUAGUAAUAGUUUAUUUACUUACACUUGAGAUUUAUGCACUUCAAAGGCUGUAACUAAAUUAAUGUAAUAAUUAAAGGAAUUAAUUAAAAAAAUAAAUAAAAAUCAGGAUUAUACACCCCAAUAAAAAAACUAGCUUUUGAGAUUAAAAUAAUAAUCUAAUAUAAAUAAGAAGUUAAAAAGAAUAGAAAUCCUGAUUCAGAAUGUUCUGACUUGAAUUCUCUUGAUCUCUCUUGUUAACAGAAGUUGACUUUUCCAUAAAUGCUACAAAGAUUAAGAUGAAAUAUUUGCUUUUGAAUGUUAGUACGCAACACUGUUGCAGUGAAAGAGAAUGAAAAAUAGAUGAAAUAAUGAACAUCUAAACAUAGGAAAAAUACUUUUCAAUUUGUUUUUAAUUUUACUUUAAGUAAAAUUUUUAAAAUUAAAAUAAUUAUUUUAUCAAUUUUACCAUUUAAAUGAUAAUUUCUUUAAAUUUAAUUGUUUUCUAUUUGAAAACUUUUAAACUUAAUAAUUUUUUAAAUAAAAAAGUUACAUAUAAAAUAACUUAAAAAUAUUUAAUCAUACAAAUUAUUUAUACUACAUAAAUCCAGGCACUAUCACGUCUGUAUAUCCGUGCUGUCUUGUGUAUCUGCAUUUUUUUUAGAUAUUUAUAACAUAUUGUUUUGAGUGACAUAGUUUGUUAUCCACAUUUUAAAAAAAUUUAUAAUAUAUUAUACUAUGAGUUGAUAAUAUUAUAACUUUUCUAUGAAUAUAAGUAAAAAUAUUUGUUAUGAUAUAUGAUAUUUAUAUAUUAUUUACAUACUUAUCAAUUCAAACGUUGAAUUUGGAUUAUUUUAAUUAUCUUUCUUUUAUUCUUCAGGAUAGUUCUUUAUGUAUCUGCUCUGUGAUUAUUUUUUGUUCUUUAUAUGAAAAAUCUAGCCUUUAUAUAUUUUUAUUUAUUGUUUGGUGACUUAUGUUUCUCAUUUUGUUGUGUUAUCUAUUAAAAUAAAAAACAUUAAAUACCGAAACCGAAUUUAAACUAUUAGAGAAAUACCAAAUUUUCUUAAAAAAAUAAUCAAAUCUUACUAUAUCCUUAACAAUCCCCUAGUGAGUUUGAAUCCCACUGUAAUACACUCUAAACUACUUAAAUAUUCAUACAUUACCCUUUUAUAUGAAUAAUAGUUUUAGAUUAAUCUUUCAACCAUUCUUAUACUUAUUAGAGUCCUCUCAAAUAGUGAAAUUACUAAUUAAGUUAUCGAUAACAAUAUAUAAAUGCAUUACAUAAAUGCAACAUAGUAAUAGAUAUAUAAUAAAUAAAAUAAAUUCUAGUUAUUGAAGUAAUAAAUAUUAUAAAUAAUUGUGUAAAUAAAUUUAUGUUAUGAGUAAUUAUUUAAUUUUGAAAAAAUAGGUAUUAAAAGAGUAAAAGUGUAGAUUAGUUUUUCUAUAAUGAGUAAUUAUUUGAAUUAAAAAAGUAGUUAUUGAAAUGUGAAAAAUAAAAAAUAGUUUUCUGUUAUAAAUAAUUAUUUAGAUUUUAAUGUAGUAAUUAGGAUGAUAAAAUUUGAAAAAUAAAAUAAAACACUAAAAUAUUUAUCUUUUUUAUAUAUAAUUAUAGAUUUUAUUUUAUAAUUAUAAUAAUAACAAUAACUAUAAUUUUAUUAGUUUUUAUUAUUGUAUAGAGAAAAUGAAAACACAUACAUCUACCAUCUAUAAUUAUAUAAAGAGAAUAACUAUUUUUGAUUUGUCUAUAUUUUUGGUUUUUCUAUUUUACUUUUUACACAAUAGUUAAUGUUCGUAAUACAAAAUUGAGAUAUGGUCUAAUACGUUUUCUAGAUUAGAAAAAAAGGUUUCUAUUUAUGUAAAAUGAUUGCAAGGAUUAAAAAGAAAUUGAUAUUAGAUUUUGAGAAGUAAAAUAAAAAAAAAAUAAUUAAUUGUUUAUCAGUAAAAAAGUGUAUAUAUUAACUAAAUUUAACCAAUUUAUAGGAACUAAAUUAAAUAUUUUACGGGUAAAUAUGUAUAGACUAUAGAGGUGCAUAUUUUGAUUGCACAUGGAACAAAUUUUACAUAUUAGAGUAUUAACAUUUAUACAUAUGAAAACAUGUUAUAUGUAGGUAAAAGAAUUAUAUAAAAAAUUUCUUUCUUGUAUCUUAUUCACGCCUUUUAGUUUCUAUUUUGCAGAUCUACAACAUUUUUUCUCAUAGAUUUAAGUGGAACAUAAUGUUAAAUACUAAAAUGCAUAUAUUAAUAUUAAUGAUAUUGAAUGGUCUCGAAAUGCAUCCUAGUUAAAUUCUAAGAAGAUUCUUCCACAUUAGUUAUUUGUGAUUAGUGUAACAGUUUGUAAUUAAUUAAUUUAAUUUAAUUGAUUGCAAAGGCACUUUCUCUCUCUUAGUCGCAGCGUGUAAGCCGUACACACGUUCGUUAAAGAGAUAAUAGGAGUAUCCUCUGUGGCGCGUGGAAUUAGUUUCCCUACAUGAGGUAUGAUUUACGAAAGGAAGAAGGCGUAGGAUGAGAGCGUGGACUACAAUCGUUGAUCUAUAACGUGUGGGAAGAAGAGGAGUUGGCCUCCCCAGUCCAUGAAAGGUUUGGACCAACCAUUUGCUAUAACUAUAUGUAUCCACACCUGUUAUUGCAAUUUUUAACACAGCCUCGGAGAAAAACCCGUCGAACCAUUUCCAUAAUUUCCCCCCCUCAGUCACUUACCCCGGCGGCGCCACCGUCACCGCCACCGCCAACCCUCCAUGACACAAACAUCAGCCAAACAAUACCACAAUCUCUGAGACAGGAAUCUCGUACAGACAAAUAAAUUUAUUGAUCAAUCCGAAACGUUGUUUGGUCGCUAGCGAGCGCGUGAGGGUCCGCUGCAACCAUGUCGAGCAUCGUCAAGGAGAUCCUGGCGAGCCCGAUACAAAUGGCGGACCAGGUAUCGAAGAUGGCGGAGGAGGCCCAGAAUUUCCGACAGGAAUGUCUCGAGCUCAAAUCCAAAACGGAGAAGCUCGCAGGGCUCCUCCGCCAGGCCGCGAGGAACAGCAGCGACCUAUACGAGCGUCCCACGCGGCGCAUCAUCGACGACACCGAACAAGUCCUGGACAAGGCCCUCAUACUCGUCACCAAAUGCCGCGCCAACAGUGUCAUCAAAAGACUCUUCACCAUCAUCCCCGCCACAGCCUUCCGCAAGACCUCCAUGCAGCUAGAGAAUUCCGUGGGCGAUGUCCAGUGGCUCCUCCGCGUCUCUGCCUCCGCCGACGAGCGUGACGACGAGUACCUCGGGCUUCCCCCCAUCGCUGCCAACGAACCCAUCCUCUGCCUCAUCUGGGAACAGGUUGCCAUUCUCUUGUCCGGUGCCCCCUUGGAAGAUCGCAACGACGCCGCCGCUUCAUUGGUUUCGCUCGCUCGCGACAAUGACCGUUACGGGAAACUGAUCAUCGAAGAGGGUGGCGUGCCCCCGCUGUUGAAGCUUCUGAAGGAAGGACACUUGGAAGGACAGGAGAACGCUGCGAGAGCCAUUGGGCUUCUCGGGAAAGACCCUGAAAGUGUGGAACACAUUGUGAACGCCGGUGUUUGUUCAGUGUUUGCCAAAAUCCUCAAAGAUGGUCACAUGAAGGUUCAAGCGGUGGUGGCCUGGGCUAUUUCUGAACUCGCUGCCAAUCACCCCAAAUGCCAGGAUCAUUUUUCUCAGAACAAUGCCAUACGCUUGCUCGUUAGCCAUCUCGCCUUCGAGACCAUUCAAGAGCAUAGCAAGUACGCUAUUGCCAACAAGGCCAGGUCCAUUCACACCUUAGUUUUGGAGAGUAAUACAACCAACACGCAUGAAUAUGAAGAUGAUAAGAACGUUGCCCUUCGUCCAACGGGGACAAAUACAUCCACUCAGAUGCACAACGUGGUUUCGAACACCAUGGCAAUGAAGGGCAUUGCCCAAAAAAAUAAUGCCACUGCCACGGCUGGGACACCGCAUAACAGCGGCGUUACAAACGCGAAAAAACAUCAAGGUGGGACACCGCACGUGUCAAUUGCUGGGACGAGUAUCAAGGGGAGGGAAUACGAAGACCCCGUCACAAAGGCAGAGAUGAAGGCGAUGGCAGCCAGAGCCUUAUGGCAACUGGCGAGGGGUAACUUGAGUGUGUGUAGGAGCAUAACAGAAUCAAGGGCUCUUCUGUGUUUCGCAGUUUUGCUGGAAAAGGGUCCCGAAGACGUGCAAUCUUACUCUGCGAUGGCGUUAAUGGAAAUAACGGCCGUGUCGGAGCAACAUGCAGAGCUGAGACGCUCUGCAUUCAAACCCACAGCCCCUGCUGCAAAGGCUGUUCUUGAUCAGCUUCUUAGAGUGAUAGAAAACGAACAAGAUGACCUGCUCAUACCUUGCAUAAGAUCCGUUGGUAAUUUGGCGAGAACUUUCAGAGCCACGGAAACAAGACUGGUUGGGCCAUUGGUGAAACUCCUUGACGAAAGAGAAGCCCAUGUUAGCACGGAAGCGGCAAUUGCACUCAACAAAUUUGCAUGCACGGAAAACUACCUCCACGAGAACCACUGCAACGCCAUCAUAGAGGCUGGGGGCGCCAAGCACUUGAUUCAACUGGUUUACUUUGGGGAGCAAAUGGUUCAGAUUCCUUCCGUGACUCUCCUUUGUUACAUAGCGCUCCACGUCCCCAAGAGCGAGACACUGGCGCAAGAAGAGGUUCUCAUAGUUCUGGAGUGGUGCACCAAGCAGGCACAUCUCGUGGAGGAACACAGCAUCUUACAACUGCUACCAGAAGCUAAGAGUAGACUCGAACUCUAUCAAUCAAGAGGAAGAGGAUUCCGUUGAACUGCUCAACCAUGAAAUCUGUAACUCCAUCCCGUCUUCUUUUACUUUUACGGAUUGCAUGAGUUUAUGUAUAUAUUCCAGGGUGCUUGCCCCUCAAAUUAAUCUAGGCACAUCGUCUUUUUGUAUCCAAUAUUAGAAUAUAUCUCUAUAGAAAACCUUCUUCUUAUGUGUUCUUUUUCACCAAUUUUUUCUUUCUGUCAACUUUGAUUCAUCACACUCCUGCAUUUAUAUCCCUUUCGCUGUUUAUUCAGGACCUGAAAAUAGGAGGAUGCAUUAAGGAGGGAGGGCAAAUUUUCUGAUUUCUUCAUAAAGUAAAAGAAGGAAGAAUUCUUUUAUUGUGUCGUGUGGAUUUUUUGUUUUCUAUAAUCAGAAUUGAAAUAUCUAAUCUAAUAUGUUUCACCAUUACGAUUUACGGGUAAACUGUGUGUAAUGUACUCUUGGACGCACUUUUUUCGGAGAAAGCCUUGCUUCCUUAUACAUAUUUUAUAAAAAUUAAAGUGAUUUGAAAACUUAUAUAUAUAGAAAACAAUUAGAGACUAAAAUAAAAUUACUAUAACGUCGAGUGAUGAAAAAGAGGAAGAGAAGUCCCUAAAACUCAUGUGCAUAUAUGUUUGGAUGGAGAUGGUGAGUAUGAAAAUCAGACUCCCUGGAAACAAACUUUGGCGUUUAAUUUUUUGUAGCUACCUAGAAAGAAGCUAGGGAAAUCAAUCUUAUAUACUCAUACUUCUUUUCUAUAAUUUUCUUUAAAAAUCUUAUAUGUAAUUUGUAAUUGUUUUUCUGUCAUACUUUUUUUAAUCACAAGUAUUGUUUUCUAUUCUAAAUACUUGUUAAUGUUGAAUUUAUCGAUAAAUGUCUUAUAUUUUUUUUAAAAAUAUUUUUUAAAUUAUUUUAAAAUUAAUUUUAAUCUUAUAAAAAACGUGGAUUAAUGAUUUAAUAGUUCCAAAUGUUUUCUAUUUUUAUAAAUGAAACUUAAAUUUACUUAAUAAAUAUAAUAAUAUUUAUAAAUCAUAUUUGCAUGUAUUUUAUUAAUUAAAAUAAUUUUUUUUAUAUCUAAAACUAAUUCAAAUGUUUUUUUACAAUAAAUGAAUAUAAAAAAUUAAAAUUAUUGUACUUCUCAUUUAUUUAUUUAAUAAAUACAUAAAUUAGAGUUAGAUAUAUAAAAGUUUAUUUUAAUUAAUAAAAAUAUAGGUAAAUAGAAUUUAUAAAUAUUUUUAUAUUCAUUAAAUAAAGGGUUAAAUAUGUUUUUAGUCUCUAUACUAUCAAGCGAUUUUGGUUUUAGUCUCUCUUUCAAAAUAAGGUAUAUUUUAGUCAUUCUCUUCUAGAAAACUUUGAUUUUAGUCUUCCAAAACUAACAUCGUUAAAAACCAGCUAAUGUGGCUAACGAUGGAAUGUCACGUCAUCUUUUUUCUAACACUGAGUCAAUCUGACCCUCACCGUUCAGUCACUAUCAUCAUACAGUCAUCAUUAUCGUUCGGUCUACAUCACCAUUCAGUCAUCAUAACCAUUCGGCCAGUACCAAUACCUUUCAGUCAGAACCAAUAUCGUCCGGCCACCACAUAUAUCGUUCGGUCAUUCAGUAAUCAUAACCAUUCAGCCAGUACCAACACAGUGCCGUCACCAUUAAUAUCGUUUGGCCACCACAUAUAUCGUACGGUCAUUUAGUCAUCAUAACCAUUCGGCGUAUAUUUCCAAUGCAGUUCAGGAUGGCCGGUGUUUGGAUGCAAUUUUCGCAUUUAAAAAGUUUCUUUGUGUGGGUGGAGAGCCAAGUGCGAUAACAUUUUGUGUGUUUCUCAAUGCGUGUGCUGACAUGGCUAGUUUAGAGCUCGGGACUCAGUUACACGGAUUUAUAGUUCGGAGCCGGUACCAAGAGGAUGUCUCUAUUUCCAAUGGGCUUAUUGAUUUCUACAAAAAAUGUGGAGACAUGGUGUCAUCUGAAAUGGUUUUUAACAAAAUUGACAGUGGCAGGAGGAAUGUUGUUUCCUGGUGCUCUAUGCUUGCUGCUCUUGUGCAAAACCACGAGGAAGAAAUGGCGUGUAUGGUCUUUCUAAAGGUAAGGAAGGAGGUUGAGUGAACAGAUUUCAUGAUAUCGANUGUACUCAGUGNGUGUNCGNAGCUUGGAGGGCUUGAACUGGGCAGGUCAGUUCAUGCUCUUGCUGUUAAAGCAUGUGUCGAGGAGAAUAUAUUUGUUGGGAGUGCACUUGUUGAUAUGUAUGNAAAAUGCGGAAGUAGAGAGAACGCAGAGCAAGUAUUCAAAGAAAUGCCCGGGAGGAACCUAGUUACUUGGAAUGCAGUGAUAGGUGCAUAUGCAUAUAUUGGGCGAUGUUGACAUGACAUUGACUUUAUUUGAGGAGAUGACACUGGGCAACUUUGGUAUAACACCAAGUUAUGUUAAAGUAAUUUUGGUAUUGUCAGUGUGUAGUUGGGCAGGGGCAGUGGAGAGAGGUUUGCAUAUAUUUGAAUCCAUGAGAAGGGGAAAUGGAAUUAAACCAGGCGCCGAGCAUUAUGCAUAUAUUGUGGACCUUCUUGGGAGGUAUGGUUUGGUAGGUCGUGUAUAUUAAUUUAUUAAAAGAAUGUCAAUUCUUCCCACUAUAUUUGUAUGGGGAGCUCUACUCGGGUCUUGCAAGAUGCAUGGGAAAACAGAGUUGGGGAAAAUUGCAGCUGAGAAACUAUUCAAGCUAGAUCCUGACAACUCUGGCAACCAUGUAGUGUUUUCCACUUGCUAGGAUUGUUGAUGCUGAGAUUUAAGGUUGAGAAAUAUCAUUGUGUAGUUUCUGAUUGAAAGAGGUGGCUGGAAGUGAUUGAGUUGACAGGAUGAAUUGAGUUAUGAAUGAGUUUCAGUGUUUUUUAGUUUUUGUAUCGAGUCUUCUUCUCUUUAGUUUGAGUCUUCUUUUUAAUCUGAGUCUUGGAUCUUUGUUUUGAUUUUAAUUUCCCCUGUCUAAGAGGGCAGUUCCUUAAGCGUGGGAGUGUGUUAACUCUCUAUUUUUUCUCAUUUUUGUGUGUUAAUAUUCUUCUCUGAGGUUAGUUUAGUUUUUUAUUUUAUAGAAUUAAAGUAGUUUAUAAUAAUUAGGAUAAAAAAAGGGUUUUGUAAAAAUAUUGUUAAUUUUACCUUUUAAGAUAAAUAAUUUUUUUUUAUAAUUAAGUGUUUUCCCUUUUAGAAAAAUAUUCAGAAAAUUAAAAAUAAAAUUUAAUUUUUUUUGGCUUUAUUUUUCAUUUUAUUUUCCAGUUUAUUCUUUUUUAAAUUGAUAUGUCAAUGGGUGCAAGAAUAAAUAAAAAAGGAAUCGAACUUGGCUGAUUGGGCUGAAGUAGUCAACUGGGUAAGUGGGUUGAUACACUGGAACUAAACUGUGGAUGGGCUAAAGCCAAUAAAGUAAGGGUAAUGAUCCCUCCACCUCCCCAAUCUAGCCUACACCUCCUCAAUAUUUAUUUUAUUCCAAAAAUAUCUUAAAUUAAUUUAAACUUUACCAUUUAAUUUUUUAUCAUUUUUAAAACCCUAGCGAUUGGUUUAAAAAUCUUGCUUCAUAAAACAUCCAAAUAACAUUCAUCAUUGUGUUACUACUAGAGUUGAAUAUUUUCAACAUUAAAAAUAAUUUUGGUAAUGGUAUAAUAUAACACCCCCAGAUGCUUAUUUCUGCGUGUAGUUAACUUGUAUACAUAGCUCAACAACAAUUUAUAAAAUGACAAUUUAUUAUCACAAAUGCUAACUUGGCAGAAGCCGAUUUCCUUAAGGAUGGAUGUCAAUGUUCGUGGACGCACAUUAAUAUCCGUUUGUCUCUUCAACGGAGGUCCAUUUACGUCGACAGAAGUUGAUAUCGAUUUAAUUUAAGGGCAAAAGAGAAAUGGAGAGGUGUAGGAAGUGAUGUGUGGAGGUGCAGGGAGUAACACCCAUAAAGUAAAAGUGCUGCAGUGAAUUAGUAGUGAAUUAGUAAUGCGGUGCGUUUUGGCUGCCAUUUCCUUCAUUUUCAUUCGUGCAAGAGAGAGUUCAAACCAGAGCUUAGGGUUCGUGGUCCAACGGAGAGAAGUGUUGCAGCGAUUAAAGGACGCGAGCUCCAAGGCCCAAAGAGGAAGCCGGCCCAAGCUGAUCAGAAGCAAAUCGGAAGCAAGGAAUCGUGAUCGGAAGCAAGGCAGUGCAGAGCUGGAUCGAACGAUUGAAGUUCGCGGUCAGAGUUAGCUGAAGGAGUUGAUUCAAGAAGCUUCUACCGUUACUCGGUUCUUCCCCCUUUCCCUCUUUGCUUUUCUUUUCUGUUUUACGAUUACCCUAUAUAAAGGGAGGUUUUGUAACUUUGUAAACACAGGUGGUGGGUGACAGACACCACUCUAUACUCUCAGUUCCAAAUUCUUCAGUUUUAGAUUUUAUUGCUUUCGUAUAAAUAGAUACAUUCUCUGCUUAACUGGGGGUUCUUGGAUUUUCCAUUGGGUGACAGGCAGUGGGACUCUGAGAAACUCUGUACUUUCGAUUUCAGAUUUCAAUACAAAUUUUAUGCUUAUGUUCUUUCAGUUUUGAUUCUUGCACAUGAUUUUACUUUCUCUGUUUUAGCAUUGAUUGAUUUUUCAUUUCAGUAUUAGAUUUUGAGUUGCUUUAGAUUCGUGUACUGUUCCUUUAAGAUUUCAGCAUUUGAUUUCGGUAUCGCAUGAUUAGGAAUUGUAUUUUAGGAAGUCUGUUACAUUGCUGUUUGAGUAGUUUGAUUUGGGCAUUUCAAUUCUGAUUUUGGGUGUUAUUAGAUUUUCAAAUUUUCUUUCAUAGUUAUUGUUUUAAUUUCUUUCUUAGCAUUCAUUCUCAUGAUAGUCCUUAUUGUUCAUUCACUUAGUUAAUUACCAAAUUAGGAUUUCCUUCAUAUUAAUUGAAUUUUAGAUUGUGAAUUCUGUUUUAGUUUCUUUUUAGUUUUUAAGAUUCUUUUAANUGCAUUAGCUUAGUCUUGUUAAUACAGAUUACAUUAGUUACCGUAAUAUAGGAUAGAUAUAUUGUUUUCUUUCUACUUUUCCAUUAGUUUUACUUAGAUUUUAACUCUUUUAGUUUCUCUUUUUAGAUUUUAGUUUCAUAUUUUCAUUAUUUCUCCCCCACCUAGUUCUAGUAAAUAAUUAAUUAGGCUCAAUUCCAUAAUUCUAAACUUGAUUUUGCCAAGUCCUUGGAUUGAUCCCUAGUUAGCCCUAUACUACAUUAGUGGGGACUAGGUUUGUUGACUUUUAUACGACCAAAAGGCUUUCAACAAUGUCUUUCUAAGAACUCUAAGCACUCUUUUAUUCACAUCAAUGAGCAUUUACCGGGGAAUUCAAUUCUUCUUUGAUUUUGUUGUCUUGUUUUUGAUGAGUUAGAAUUUAGAUAUUGACUUUGCUUUGUUUCAAUUAUAAAUUUGUUCCUUAAAUUUUGAUUUCUUAUUCAUUGUUCUACUUCCAGUUCAUUGCAUUGUUCAUUUACUUUCUAGGUUAAAUCCUUUCUUGCUUAAGUAGCGACAACUUUGAAAUUUGAAAUGGCAUGCCAGAAAACCAAAGCUGGCUGAAAAGAAUGUACUCUGGUUUCUGAUCACCAUAUCCAUGAACGCGGCUUCUCCAAACCUGCUUGGUUCUUUGCUGGAAUCAGCUGUUUCAACUCGCUCUUCCCUGCUUGGCCGUGCGGUCCACGCGCUUAUCCUCAGAACCCAUGACACCCCUCUCUCCUCCUUCCUCUGCAACCACCUCGUUAACAUGUACUCCAAACUCGACCGUAUCAACUCAGCUGAAAUCCUUCUGUUACUCACCAACCCCCGCACCGUUGUCACCUGGACCUCUCUCAUCUCCGGCUGCGUUCACAACCGUCGUUUCACCUCCGCUUUCCUCCACUUCAAUAACAUGCGCCGCGAGUGUGUUCUCCCUAACGACUUUACUUUCCCCUGCGUAUUCAAAGCUUCGGCUUCGUUGUGCAUGCCCUUUACUGGAAAACAGCUUCACACCCUCGCUCUAAAAGGUGGAAAUAUAUUGGACGUGUUUGUUGGGUGCAGCGCCUUUGACAUGUACAGCAAAACCGGCCUUCGAGUCGAGGCUUGUAACAUGUUCGACGAAAUGCCGCAUAGAAACUUGGCCACGUGGAAUGCGUAUAUUUCCAAUGCAGUUCAGGAUGACAGGUGUUUGGAUGCAAUUUCCGCGUUUAAAAAGUUUCUUUGUGUGGGUGGAGAGCCAAAUGCGAUAACGUUUUGUGUGUUUCUCAAUGCGUGUGCUGACAUGGCGAGUUUAGAGCUCGGGAUUCAGUUGCACGGAUUUAUAGUUCGGAGCCGCUACCGGGAGGAUGUCUCUGUUUCCAAUGGGCUUAUUGAUUUCUACAAAAAAUGUGGAGACAUGGUGUCAUCUGAAAUGGUUUUUAACAAAAUUGACAGUGGCAGGAGGAAUGUUGUUUCCUGGUGCUCUAUGCUUGCUGCUCUUGUGCAAAACCACGAGGAAGAAAUGGCGUGUAUGGUCUUUCUAAAGGCAAGGAAGGAGGUUGAGCGAACAGAUUUCAUGAUAUCGAAUGUACUCAGUGCGUGUGCGGAGCUUGGAGGGCUUGAACUGNGCAGGUCAGUUCAUGCUCUUGCUGUUAAAGCAUGUGUCGAGGAGAAUAUAUUUGUUGGGAGUGCACUUGUUGAUAUGUAUGGAAAAUGCGGAAGUAUAGAGAACGCAGAGCAAGUAUUCAAAGAAAUGCCCGUGAGGAACCUAAUCACUUGGAAUGCAAUGAUAGGUGCAUAUGCACAUUUGGGCGAUGUUGACAUGGCAUUGACUUUAUUUGAGGAGAUGAUGACAUUGGGCAGCUUUGGUAUAGCACCAAGUAAUGUUACACUAGUUUCGGUAUUGUCAGCGUGUAGUAGGGCAGGGGCAGUGGAGAGAGGUUUGCAUAUAUUUGAAUCCAUGAGAGGGAGAUAUGGAAUUAAACCAGGCGCUGAGCAUUAUGCAUGUAUUGUGGACCUUCUUGGGAGGUCUGGUUUGGUAGAUCGUGCAUAUGAAUUUAUUAAAAGAAUGCCAAUUCUUCCCACUAUAUCUGUAUGGGGAGCUCUACUUGGGUCUUGCAAGAUGCAUGGGAAAACAGAGUUGGGGAAAAUUGCAGCUGAGAAAUUAUUCCAGUUAGAUCCUGACGACUCUGGCAACCAUGUACUGUUUUCCAACAUGCUUGCAUCUGCUGGCAGGUAAAAUUUACAAUUUCGAUAACUAAGUUUCCUUCUUGGAUUGAAUGGACAAGUUAGCUGAAUUGUUUGUUGUAUUUGGUAGAAUAAGUUGUCCCAUCCAAAUUAGUCUCAACAGAAUUUACCUUCUUUUUUAUUUUUUUCUGUAUCUAGUAGGAUAAGGUUUGUAUUAUUGUUGUGGUGGUUUUCAUUUUUCUGUGUUGCUUUAGCAUAUUUAGCCAGAACUAAAAACUGUCUCUUCCUUCUGAAUUAACAUUGUUUAUGAUUCUUUUGCUAAUGCUUGUAAUUGCUAAAUGCAGAUGGGAAGAAGCAACUAUUGUUAGGAAGGAAAUGAGAGAUAUUGGAAUUAAAAAAAAUGUUGGUUAUAGUUGGGUUGCUGUAAAGAAUAGAGUCCAUGUUUUCCAAGCAAAGGAUAGUUCUCAUGAAAGGAACUCUGAAAUUCAGGCAAUGCUAGCUAAGCUCAGAGGGGAGAUGACCAAAGCUGGGUAUGUUCCUGAUACCAACCUAUCACUUUUUGAUUUAGAAGAAGAAGAAAAGGCUUCAGAAGUAUGGUACCACAGUGAGAAGAUUGCUCUAGCAUUUGGCCUCAUAGCUCUCNCUCAUGGAGUGCCCAUACGUAUUACAAAAAAUCUUAGGAUUUGUGGAGAUUGUCAUAGUGCCAUUAAGUUCAUNUCAAAAAUUGUUGGAAGAGAUAUUAUCGUGAGAGAUAAUAAUCGUUUUCAUCACUUUAAGGAUGGUUGGUGUUCUUGUAAAGAUUAUUGGUAAUAGUUCCAUACUCCCAUUAUUUUAUCUGUUUCAUAUGCGUCAAAGAAUAUUUUUGAAAUAACACAUCAGGUUCUCUUUACCCAUGUUGAUGGUGAAUGCCGAUCAAUUGUUAUUUUCACGGUGCAUCUGCCAUUUUCUAAUAAACUGUGCAGGGGUACUGUACCAUUCUCCUAGUGUGUCCAUUCUGCAUAGGUGCUUAUUCAGGGUGUUUACAUGGUAGAGUUUGACAAGGGAUUUUGCAUAGUGAUUUAUGUAUGGGACAGGCUGAUUUGAUUUUGGUAUGUGUUGUGCUAUAGUUGAUAUAGCAAGUCCUGUAUAAAUAGAACUUUCUUAGAUAUCAAGUAAUAAGAUAAACUCUUUUCUGAUUGACAAAUCAGACUAUAUUACAACCACAAUGCAUAUUACAAAUUGUCAUCAACAGUAUUACUAGUGUACAUCACAAUGUAUAUUCACUUUGAUACUACUAUUGCUGGUUUUCAUAGUCACGUAGUAAUAUCUUUAGGUAAAAGAAGAGAAAGUACAGAUAUCAACACUAUUUUUACAAAACAAACCCUCAUCUAGUAAGAGAAAAACCAUGGGGCAAGAGUAGAAAAGUAUUCUCACUAAGUGGAAGAAAAACUACAGCCUCUCUAAAUACAAGUAGAAAAAGAAUACAUUCUCUCAUAAUAGAAUACCCUUGCUUCUAACUCUCUCAAAUGAGGAGUUACUCUAUAGGAAUGCAUCAAGCUCAUGGAAUGACUUGCUAUUUAUGGUAAAAGGAUGAAAAUGGUUAUUAGUUAGCAAGGUAAAAGUUGUCUGCUUCCUAACCAACUUAGUAGCAAAGAAUUGCAUGAUGUACAAAAUUUUCAACCAUCUAUGUUUUACUUUUAUGCAAAAAAAUUGGGUUUACGUGGUUUCGUAGUCAUCUAUUUAGUUUAAUCUUAUUUAGCACUAUCAUACUUUAUUAUGAAGUGGAAAUAUUGAAUAAUUGGUGAUUAUGUUAUGCAUAUAUGUCAUUAAUAGAUUUCUUUUACGGUAGGAAAACUCUUGGGAGUCUAGGAAAGAGUUUAUUUAGACUUUCAGGUUUGAUAAUUCUGCAUAAUAGUAAAACUUAACUUGUAUAGUGGUCAUUUUCGUUGCUAUUAUUCUAGAUAUUGAAUGCACACUUUCUUCAAGAUCAGAAGAGAAUAAAAAUCAUAGAUUAUAUUCACAAAAAAAGUGGCAUUCUAAAUAAUUUCAGAAGUCUGCAGCAUAAGUAACCACAUUUCCUUUGUUUUCUUCGGAAGUAGUGUUUAUUUGAGAAUCGCAAUUUGUAUCACAAGGAUCACUGACUUAGCCAUUAGAAUCCGCCACUUGAAAUCAGGAUUCAAAAGUAAGGCUUUCAGCUUCCCGUCUGACUGAUUCAAACAGCACGGAGGACAGGUACCUCUCACCAAAGAUUGGGAAAAUAACCUGUACCAUAUCAAAACGGAACUCUCCACUAAGUGAAACUUGUAAAAUAAUGCUCAUGACUAACUCUCAGUUGUCAUCAAUCAAAACUAAACAAACAAUAUGUUGAAAAAAACAUGGGAUUUUGUUGCAAGUUCUUAACAGACAUUUAUACAAAAAGACAUCAACUUACAACAACUAGUUUUCUAGCAUUUUCUGGUCUUUUUGCUAUCUUAAUGGCAGCUGAAGCUGCAGCUCCAGAUGAUAUUCCAACCUAUAGUAAUAUUUCAAGUAUAGAUUCAACAAACUGUACAGGUAUUAUAGAAUAAAUUUGUAACAUAAACCUAUGAGCUUCCUUUGCAGUAUGGCUCAUUUGAUUGCCUGUGCAUAGAUCCUUUAGAACCUGUUGCUGACACUGCAGUAUUAAAUGACUCUAAGGUUCUUAAAGAAGCAUUUGAGAUUGGAUAUAUUCAUACCCCUGCCGAUUGUAUUGAUGUUAGAGGUCUUAGUGGUCAGAUUGGUUUCCUUCCAGUGAGCACUUGGUAAGCAUGAGUUAUUCUUCAGCAUAUGAUAAUUGCUCAUUUCCUUAUAAUGCUCAACCACCAAGAUUUGACAUGUUUUAUGAGCCUAUUCAUGAGGUUUCUAUGCAGCCAACCAAUCAAGCUUUCCAGCAACAACCACCACCUUGUUUUCAACCAUAUCAUAAGCAGCCACCCUGGCAUGUACAGCAGCAGCUGCCACAUUCAUAUGCAGUAUGAGGAGCCAAAGCAAGAGGAAUUCCAAUCAGUGCAGCCAUGGAAGCCACAAUUCUGUAACCAGUGGCAGCAGGGGAUUGCAUCAUCUGAUUUUCAAGAAAUGACCUCCCAAGUGGCCCAAAUGGUGGCUGCUAUCAAUCAACUGGCUAGGAAAACUGAAGAGGAGAAGGAGGCAACAGUCAAUGAAGCACCACUGGGAGCAGCCUCUGCACUCGAGUUUCAAGCUGACCAUAAUCUUAAUAAUGUAGUUGGCGGACUUGAUCAGGUUUUUUCUGUACCUGAUAUUCCUAUUCAUGUACCUGAGUUUCAAGUUGAUAUUAAUGCUUUUGAUCUUUUACAACUUGAAACAAUAAAGCCUGUCUUGGAUCUUGAUAUUUCGGUUUGGAUGUCUGCACACACUCACAAUUUAAAUUCAGCAUUUUCCAUUGAAUAUAUUGACAUACCUUAUGCUGUUUCAGAAUUAUGUGCUGAUUUUAACAUCAUUCCAGUUGAUAAUAGCUUCACGGUAGGUGUUCAUUUAGCUGCUGAUUUGAUAGAUGCUAGUGAGGUCAUUUUUGAGGAGCCAGUACAGGUUGAUUCUAAACUUGAGCUUCCUAGCUGUUUGGGUGAGGUACAAAUUAGCUUUGAUAAUCUUAUGCAUGAGAAACCCUUGCCUGAUAGUCUUGCUGUCAUGCCUAGUUGUUCUGAAAUGCUGGAUAAAUUUUUUGUUUUAGAACAUAUUGAUAUUCUGGAUGAGGUUUAUGAUGUGUGCACUGAACCUAAUUACAAUAUUGAUGAUAGCCUUGUGAAAUGCACUGACUUAACUGAGGAUUCUGCUGUUAUUGGUAGGGAUAUUUUAAAUGAGCUAACACAGGUGUGUUCUGACCUUGAGAUUCCAGUUGCUUUAUCUGAGCUUCCUUUGCAGUAUGGCUCAUUUGAUUGCCUGUGUAUAGAUCCUUUAGAACCUGUUGCUGACACUGCAGUAUUUAAGCAUUUGAGAUUGGAUAUAUUCAUACCCCUGCCGAUUGUAUUGAUGUUAUGUGUCCAGCCUUUGAUGCACUGUUCUUUAUUGAAAAUGAAUUUGAGUUCACUGUUAACAAAGAUGCAAUGUUUGAUGAUCCACUUAUGCUUGACUUUGAAUUUAGUGAAUUUUGUGCAGAAUUAAAUGAAGAAGGCACACACUGAAGGCAUGAAAGAAGUUCUGGUUGAGCUAGAUGGGAAAGGAGAGCCGAGUUUGACGCAGUGGAGAGCUGAGAAGGAGCAACUCAAUGCAACCUUGGAGGCAAUGCACAAAGUGGAUGAGCAGAAUAGAGAAAAACCAAUAAGAUCCUUCUUUCCCUUUCUUUUAAAUAGUAGUUAUAGGUCUUUUAGAGUAAUGUGCAUAGUUUCAAAUAGCAUAGUUAAUAAUAUGAUAGUAAAUAUGCUGUUCUACAUAAAAAUAAAAAGAAUAAAUUUUGAUCUAUGGCCUAUUUGAAUAAAUUUUCUUUUUCCUUUAGUUUUGUAGAUUUAGUUUAGUUUUCUUAGUUCUAUUCUGUUAUAUGCAUUCUCUUUCAAUUUUAGUUCUUUUUCAAUAUUGUUUUGAAUAAUCCUGAUGUUGAUUGUCCUGUAUAUACUUGUUGCUGUUUGUGCUGAUAGAAAACCUUCAUCACUCACACAUUGAGGGCAAUGUGCCUCUUGAGUGUGGGGGUGGGAAGGUAUAGGUUUAAAAUUUUUGUUUUGAUGUAAAUAGAUCUGUUUAGGGGUAAUUUUUUUUUCUGAACUGUUUUUCCCUUUAGUUGUAGGUCUGUUUUAGUUUAGUGUAAUUGCUAUCUUUGUUAUAAUGUGUAAAUACCUUUCAUAAUCUGUUUAGUUUGUAAAUAAGAUUUAGUUUUUGGCUUUGAUUGUUAAUAGUUCUUAUGUGUUACGUAUUCAAGUAGGUAAUGUAACGAAAUCACCCUCUCACACACUCAAAACAAGCAAAAGAAUAAUGAAAGAAUCGAAUUGAACAAAUGAAUCUCUUUUAUUGAUGGUAGUGUAUGAAUAAACAAAAGUAAACAAUAACUGGGAGUAUAACCUUCUUCAGUUAUUUAAUAAUUGGGAGCAUAACCUUCUUCAGUUAUCCAAUAAUUGGGAGUAUAACCUCCUUUACAAAACUCACAAAUCAAAGCAUACCCUUAAUCAUAAACUCUAACUUUAUUUAUACUAAUUAUUUCUCGUCCAUCUCUUACUAAAUAUUUUCUUAGAAUAUAUUUGCAUUUAAUAUAAAUAUCCCUAUAUACUUAUCUCCCCAUAUAUUAUCCUAACAUAUAUCCUUAAUUAUAAAUAUCUUAUAUUGAAUAUUUUCCUAGAAUAUAUAUUUAUUUACUCUAAUUAACUUAUACUGAAUAUCUUAUAUUGAAUAUUUCUUUGGAAUAUAUAUUUAUUUACUCUAAUUAACCUAUAUUAUAUUUAUUUACUCUAAUUAACUUAUACCGAAUAUCCUCCCACCUUAUACCCUAACAUUAUGUCUUUAAAAUUCUUUCAUUCAUUUUUUGCUUAGGUUCUUUUACUUUUAAUUCUGUUUGUAGAACUUUUUUUAAGUCCUUUUUUGUUUCUUAUUUCUAUUUUUUUAUUCCUUAUGCUAGUUUAUUGUUAUGUUUUAGUUCUGAAUUAGUUACUUGUCCAUAUUUUAGUUUCAUGCUUUGUUUUGAGUUUUCAAUUAGGAUUUUGUUCAUAAUAAGGUUCUAUUUUCUUUCUGCCACUGUUUUAAAAUUGUUUUGAAUCUGUUAACUUUCUCUUUGUCAAUUCUUUGUUCUGGUUAUAUUACAUAUGUCAGGUAGCUUAUACUAAUAGGUUAGGUUUAUCUUCUUUCAAUAUAUUAGGUAGUAUAUUAGGUAGUCUAGUACUGAUUCUAGGUUCCUUGGUCUUCUUUGGUUUAGGCUAUUUUCUUUUCUUUUCAUCUUGCUAUUUUCAUUUUCGUAGAAGCUUUACUUAGGAGCUGUCUUAGUUACAUUCUGUCUGUCUUAGUUUGUUUAGAUUGUAAAUAGCUCUAGGCAAGUUUGUUUAGGAAUUUCUAGAUUCUGUUUCACAAUUUACUUAAAUAUUUGCUGAUAUGCUUAACAUUUUAGCUUUGUUUCUCUGAGAUAGAUUGCCAACAGUGUCUUUAGCUCUAGAUUUGAGUGAAUGCAGCUCUAGCAUUAAUUUUUGCAGUUAGUUCAAUUCAAGUGAGCAGUUUUUGCAUGAUAGAGAGUAGCAAGUUCAAUUUUGACAAAUGUUUAACCCUAGAGAGUUUUGGGCCAAUUUUUUUUCUUUCUAGUGUGAUUGCAUGCAUGUAUAACCAUAGUUCUGAUUUUGUAUUAAUUCUCUUUGAGUGUACUUGAUCUUGGUAGAACUUUAGAGAUGAUGUUAGGAUAUAGGGUAAGAGGAUAGAAUGGGUAUUGGGUUUAGGAUAGAAGGUGAAGGAAUUGUAUAAAUAAGACCCGGUUAGGUUGUCAAGGGAAUUAUCGAGUGUAUUCAGUGUAAAGGCAUGUCUUUAGCCUGUAGAAAAAGGUUAUGCUCCCAACCCAUUCGUUGUAAAAUAGGAUUUCUUUCACAUUGAAUAAUAGACAAUCCCCUUUCUUUCAUUACUGGUUUCUAUCUUCUGAGUGUGUUCUGUUAGGUUUCAAACCCAAGAACUUAACAAUUGGUCCGACCUGCCGGAUACGCUUGGCAGGGAAUUGCCGGAUCUGAAGUGUGGUGCCGGAUUGAGACGCUGUAGGGAUCGUGUGGAGUGAAGGAAAUUGCGGUUGAUAGAAAAUGAAUGCGCAGACUAUUUAUAACAGUUUCAUGUAUUUAUAACAGUUUCAUGAGUUAAGGAACUAAGAAUAUAUUUAAUCCUAUAUAUUUUUAUUUAAACUAAUCAUUCGUAAUUUAUUUUAACUUAAUUUUCAUCAAUAGUAUUUUAUUUUAAAUUAGUUUUCGUUAGUUAUUUUUAAAAAAAUAAUAACUUAACAUUUUAUUUUAAAUGAUUUUAAACUGAUUAAUCUUAUAAUUUUAUUAAUUAAAAUAUUCUUUUUUUCUUCAUUUCUCCUAUUUUUUUAAUCUGCUUUCAUGAAUCCAAACAAAUCCAUCUUCAGUUCUGAACUAAGUCUUAAUAAACAAUCUAGAUAUAUUCAUGAAACACGUGGGUGUGAUGUGUUCCUAAAUCAUAAGUGAGGCUAAUCCUGAAGGUACCUACUAGCUAUGGCUUUUUUCUCCUUUUAAUGGCACACCUCUAUUUGUGGAAUUGUCCUUUUAAAGGUCUGAGGUCAUGCCAGACAUUCUUAUGGCUUAAAAAAAUACAAAAAAAUCAAAUUAAUAUUUUGAUUCUUAUAUUUUAAAAAAUAGAAAACUUUGAAAGGACUAAUUUCAUUGAAUAUAUCCACUGAAUACAAACAAGUUUCCUUUCAAAUUCACAAGCAAAGCUUAAAAGGAUAUCGACAAUUAUUUACAUAGUUCCUCUCAAUUUAAUGGACAGAAAAAUCCCAGUAAGGCUACUUAUAUGUAUGAAGAUAUUCAUAAAAUCUAUAACCACUAAAGAAAUAACCAUACACAUGAAGGUGGAUAUAGAAUUUUGACCAUCCCCAUUCUCAAGAAUAAAAGCAAAAGUAAGAUGAUUGUUAGUUAAUGGAGGCAAUCCAUCAGUGAAAGUUCUAAUAAUAGUGUUUGGCAUUGGAGCAUUAUAAAUGCAGAGCAGGUAUGUAAAGAUUUGAACAUUAAGGUAAAGCAGAGGAUAUUACGUUAAAGAUGCGCAUUUAACAGUAGGAAGCAGAGUAUUUAGCCGAUGAUUUCAGAACCUCACCAAAACAAAACAAUAAUAAACCCAGCAACUAAUGGCUUUUAAUGUAAAAAAAUAUAAAUAAAAACGCAGAGAAGCCACACCCUAGCUAAUCCUAUUUCUAAAGCGUAAUCUUCAGAGUAGGAAAACCCAAAAAAGAAAGCAAAAGACCCACAGAACACAAAAGCAAGGCCCCACCCAUCAUGUGCUAUUAAAUCAACGCGCAUUCGAAGGGCAGUCCCUCGCAAAAUGCCCAGACUCCCCACAGUUGUAGCAGCUUCCACCGCCACCUCCGCCACCACUUCCUCCGUACCUUCCACCACCGCCACCACCUAAGCUGCAGUCCCUCGCCAUGUGACCCGUCUCCCCACACUUAUAGCAACCCCCUCCACCACCACCACCUCCCCCAUACCCACCGCCUCCGCCAUAGCCACCGCCACCAUAUCCGCCACCGCCUCCAUAUCCACCUCGUCCUCCGCGUCCUCCGCCGCCAUAGCCACCUCUUCCACCACCCCCGCCUCCGUAUCCACCUCUUCCCCCUCCUCCACCACCGCGGGUGCCCUGCACGGGCGAUUCGUCAGGGCCGGUGACGUCGACGGCCUUGGUGCGGCCUUCGGAAUCGGAGUCGAUGAGGAACUCGACGGAUUCUCCUAGGGCGAGGCUGCGAAAACCGUCGGAUCGGAUGGAGGACUGGUGGACGAAGAGAUCCUCGCCGCCGUCAUCGGUGGUUAUGAAGCCAAAUCCCUUCUGAUCAUUGAACCACUUGACCUUUCCCGUUACCCUCUGCUUCUCACUGUCGCUCAUCUCUCUCUCUCGAUCUGAUCUCUCUCUGUCACUGUCUGCUCUACGGCUCAAACUGCUCUGCACCUUCUGCCUUUUAUACGUCACAAUUUUGACCUACACUUAACUUUCACGCACUCCAUCAUCCAACAUCCAACGAUUUUCUUUCUUUUCUCAAUUUUUUAAAAUUCAACCAACGGCUCAGAUUCACUUUCUCCAAUCGGACUCAGACAAUCCACGUCUCUCAAUUUUAACUCUCCUUUUUUUAUUGCAAUGUUAAUCCAUAUGUCUUUCUAACCAGACAACAUCAUUUAAUGAAAUGUAAAACAAAUUUACUUUUCAUACUUUCACCC
RNAcentral lists this long non-coding RNA (66099 nucleotides) under Vigna radiata. RNAcentral describes it as "long non-coding RNA (VRAD_LNC003932)". The record is from RNAcentral. Lineage: Eukaryota; Viridiplantae; Streptophyta; Magnoliopsida; Fabales; Fabaceae.